This 53265-nucleotide long non-coding RNA is filed under the name Vitis vinifera (wine grape). RNAcentral's name for it is "long non-coding RNA (VVIN_LNC006080)". Lineage: Eukaryota; Viridiplantae; Streptophyta; Magnoliopsida; Vitales; Vitaceae. The record is from RNAcentral.
ACAAGAGUAAUUGGCUGUUGUUUCUUUGUACUAAUUCAUGUCAAAUAAAAGUAGGCAUAUUUACUGUCCCAUUAAUGACUAGGGAUCCUCGCCAAAAGGCAAAGAGCAUUCUUCUUGUGCAUUGUAAUACCAGGUUUGACGUCGAUGUCUAUGUCUUCCUUGUUCAUUCCAGCGGGCAUUUCCCAGUCAAACGAGUAAAGAAGAUUAGCUAGUGUCAGCUCCACCAUCGCAGCUCCUAGAUUUAAGCCUGGGCAAAUUCUUCGUCCUCCUCCGAAGGGUAUGAGUUGGUAAUCCUGUCCUUUGAAGUCUAUGGAAGUUCCCAAGAAUCUCUCAGGCAUGAACUCUUCUGGGUUUUCCCAGGACUCAGGAUCUCUUCCGAUUGCCCAUGCAUUCACAUACACUAGGGUUUUGGGUGGUAUCUCAUACCCAUCUAUCACACACUUCUCAAGUGUUUCUCUCGGGACUAGCAAUGGGCUUGCAGGGUGCAAUCUCAUCGUCUCCUUCACAAUUGCUUUCAGAUACGGAAGCUUCUGAAGAUCAUCUUCAUCUACAAAACCUUUCUUUCCGAUUAAAUUUCUGAGUUCCUCUUGUGCUUUCGUCAUCGUUCUAGGAUUCUUCAUGAGCAUUGUCAUUGCCCAAACCAAGGUAGCUGCGCUUGUAUCUGUCCCUGCGAGAAAUAUGUUCUGAAAAAAAAUAAAAAAUAAAAAAUAAUAAUAAUGAAAUUAAUUAAGAAAAAAAUAGACAUGGGUCAUUUCUAAUAUGCUUUAGAUUCAUGUUAUCUAGUCAUACUAAUUUUGGGGUAAAAAUAAAUUACCAUGAGAACUGCUUUAAUGUGAUCAAAAGUGAGAUCAAUUGUAAACAGACGAUUCUUCUGCAGUUUAAGUAAGACGUCAGUGAUGUCUUCUUUCUCAGGCUCUGGUCUAUUUGGAUCCAGGUGCUCAUCAAUGAUUUCUUGAUAAAACAAAUCAAAUUCCUUGAAAUUUUUAUCGGCCAGAGCAAUCAUCCCUGUGAGUUUAUCAACCCAGCCCAUCAAAGGAAAAUAAUCCGAGAAAUAGAAGCCUCCCACCACAGCCUGACCUUCACCUACGAGUUUCUGAAAUCUGCUUCUUUCAUAUCCUUCAUCAUCGUACCUCUUACUGAAAGCAACCCUGCAGAUUAUGGUGCUUGUGAGAGAAAUUAAGAUCUCACUUAAGUUAGUGAGCUUGGAAGCAGAAGCAAACUGGGAAAUUUUUUUAAUCAUUUCCAAAACCUCAUCUUCCCGAAUGGGACGAAAGGAUUGCGCCCUUUUAGAGUUGAAAAGAUGGAGAACACAAAUCUUCCUCAUUUCUCUCCAAUAAUCAUUAUAUGGUGAAAAGGCCACAUCCAGGCCAUUGUAGGAUAGCUUCCGCAGACCAAGCAAGGAAGGCCUACCAGAAAAUUCAAGAUCAUGUGUUUUCAUGACCUCUUUUGCCAUUCUUGCUGAAGAAACCACUAGGGUUGGCACAAAACCAAGGCGCAAGAUCAUGAGGGGGCCAUAUUGCUUAGAAAGUCGCCAUAGGUAGAUAUGAGGAGCUGAUUUAUCAAGCUGGAGCAAGUUUCCAAUCAGGGGAAGCCCUGGAGGACCUGGUGGGAGGGGCGUUCUUCUUCGAUUCCGAAGAAGAAACAAGAGAAAGAGAGGGAGAGCUAAAAGGAUAAGAAGCAAAAUCAUCAUGGUUUGGGGUGUUUGGGGAGCUACUGAGAGUAUGUGAUAUGUAAAAAUGUUGAAGGAGUCUCUUUAAAAUUUAAAUACACUUCUCAACGGCAAUGGACUAUCAGCUGCAGUAUUUGAUUUGUGUUGACCAGUGAGCGUGGCCUAUCAUCCAAAGGGCUGAUUGAUGAAAUCAUUGAAAUCAUGGACCUGCUUCAGAAAGCCUACUGCUAAUGCUUAAUUGGCAGUUUGUCACAGAUCGGGUUGUUCUGUGAAAUGGACUCUAGUGGUUAGGAUCAUAACAACACAAAUUUGGCUUGGCCAAAUGAAUGGAAUCAGACUGAUCGAUUACGUGAUGAAUAAGAAGUGAUUAUAAGCCACCCCUCUGUUUCUGUCGUGACAGAAUAAAUACCUAAAGAGGAGGUACAGAAAUUAAAGGACCACUUGUGAAAAUUAUCCAUCAAUUAAUGUGAAUGUUCAAUGAAGGAAAAGUUAGGACAAAUAAAACUAGAAACCUUCUCAAAAAUUUCUCAAUCAAGUAAUAGGACAACGGCAAUUCCUUUCAAGGAUCUGUCCACAAUUUCCACAAGAACAAACGUGGACGGUGAGGACUGGACCCUAAAAUGGGACUUGGCUCCACCGACAGGAGACUUGAAUAAUAUUAUUUAGAAUAAUUUGAAUCCAGAAUCAUGCACAUUGACAUUGUUGGGUCUGUUACAAUUGCAAAGGAACAUUGGGUUUGGGCUGGCCUGCUCAUUCUUACAACUAUAGAUGCAAUUGGGCUCGGUCUAUUGUUCCAAAGGUUAAUUUGAUCAGAUGCAUACAGGCUGCUUAAUGAACCAUCUUGUGUUAUAGGAAGAACAACGUACGAUGAUUUUGCGCUGUGGGUGAAUCCUAAACAAACAGAGAAGAGUUGAAGAUAUCAAAGUGAUCAUCUUCCGGACGUGACAAUAGAAACAGGAGCUAGACAGAGGUGGUUUUUUGUGAAUACCUACCACCCGUGAAAUAUGUGCCAAGACCCGUGAAAUAUGUGCCAGACUGAGAAGGACGAAACAAACUCUACAGCGAUGUUGAUUGACCAAGUGAGACAAGAAAAUUACAAAGUAACUCAAGCAAAUAUCUGGAUAAAAUAUCGAGUCAUACUUUUCCCUUUUCAAAAUUUCGACGCCUUAAUUUUCUACAACUUGUUGAUACCUCGUGCUCCUGGUGUUCCACGUAGUUGCCAAAUGGAUGGACACGCAAUCUCAACCCACAAAGGUUCUUGAUUCAGUCGUUAUACCUGUAAAAGACAUCCGGACAGGGUGUCCGGACCCACCCUCCGAUGGUUUUGUUAGCCAUGGUUAGAGAGGGAGAUAUAAAUCAGUUGGCCUUUUACUAGGUAUCAGGAGAUUACCUUCCUCUUCGUGUGAAGGUUUAUAUAUAGUGCCAGGAGUACUGUUCCUCUCAUUAAUGGUGGGGAGAUAUUUUAUGUUGUCAUGAUGAUAUUUAGAUGGCAACAGGGUCAUCACCACCCUACGGGCGGAUGUCAGAGAUCAUGAGAAGUGAUCAUGUAGAAUGAUCGUGGGAAGUGACUUGUUGUCACCUCAAUCCGUCCUUUCACUCUGCAGGUGAUGGGACGUGGGCCAUGGUUGGUUGUUGUGAUAGCGUGUAAGACUCGCUUUACUUUAGUCAAUGAUCCGGACGAUCAUAUCCGGAUAGCCAUGUUGGUUAUCCGGAUGUAUUGUGGAGCGGGCGCAUUAAUGGAAGUCGUCCGGAUGUCUAUGCUUUGUAAGCGUCGUUUGUUCUUCUUUAAGGUAGUCCGGAUAAAAAGUGCGCCAUGUGUGCUUUAUAGAAAGAUCCAGAUGAGGAUGACCCGGAUGACAAUGCGUGCCAUGUGUCACUGUAAGAUGCGUGCCACGUAUCACUGCAAGAUGCGUGCCACGUGUUUCUUGGAGGGAGGGGUCCCUACACAACUGACCAAGACCGGAAAGUAAAAUAUCCAAUUUGGUGUGUUCUUCUCAAUUAUUAUGAGACAGUCAUCUUAGAGCAGAGCCCAAAGUAUCGGCCGAGUCGUAUCCACCUCGACACUUACCGCAACGAGUCCGAUAUCAAGUGCAAUCCUAUGCACUAACUCAGCACUAAAUUGGUAGGACUCAGUUGGCUUGUCUCAAAUUUCGAGUUAACUCGGUUGAAUCGAUUAAAUUACAAAAGUUUUUAUGAUUCAAAUUAGUGAUUUUUUUUCCCUUUCAAAUCAGAACAUAAAGAUCAUAAAUUUUUUUAAAAAUAUCAGAGGAAGAAGAAACAUUAAAAUUUAAUCGAAUGGUGACUUCCUUUUAAGUCUAAAAGAGAAGAGAUCAGACAGAUGAGGGCUCACUUACCUCAUCACAAUUGACGAAGCACAGGAGCUUUGGGGCUGAUGGAUGGUGACUCCUCAGCGUCGAUUUCAGUGGACUAAGCAUUGGAUACCUUUUUCGGUGAUGACGACCAUUCAAGGAGAGCUUCUACGGUGGGUUUGCAAACUUGCAGUCCGGUGGACAUGGGGAUAGUGAAAACCAUUUUUGGGGGAGUAUAGUAAAAGUGGAAUGUUAUGAUUUAUAUGCACCAUGAAAUUUAAUGAGAAUAACACAUUUGAAUAUUUUUAAUUUAUUAUAUAAUCUAUUUUUUUUUUGUCUUAUAACAUUCCAAAUUAAUUAAAGUAGAAAAUCAAUAAUUAUUUAAAAUAUAUAUUUAAAAAAAAAUCAUAAUUAUAAAAACAACAUUUUAAUAAUAGGUUUAUAUUAGGGAAUCAAUAAUUAUUUUUGUAUGUUAUAAAGAUUAUAUUUAUACUUGAAUUAUUUUUAAUUUAUUAUAUCAUAUAAAUUUUUUAUCUUAUAAUAUUGUAAAUUUUAAUUAUAUUAGGAAAUCAAUGAAUGCUUUUAUAAUUAUUUAAAUGAUGUUAGUUAUGAGACAAUUUUAUUUUAUUAUUUUUUUCUACCUUAUUUAUUUGUACCUAUUUUCUAAUAAUUUACGUAAUUUUUUUAUAAUUUUUAAAACUUUCUAAUUAUCAUAAUUUGUGUAUCGUUGAUACCAAACCCAUACACCGAGACUUAUGUGCCUUAAGAUCGUCCGAAUCAAUAACUGAUAUUGUGACUUUGAACCAUGUCUUAAGAGUCAUCGUUUCCUAGUAGAUAACUAUGAGAACAACAACUAGGAUCAGAAAGGUUUUGCUGCAGGGGGAUCGCAUGGAUGUAUUUUUCAUAUAUUUUUCUGUGUCUCGUGGACAGGUAACUUCCAUCGUUUGAGCUUCCACAUGGUAAUUGAUACCCCACUAAACCGCAACUGGUGGAAACCUCCAAGGAUGUUUCCAGCAAGUUGGCCAAGUUGUCCCGUGAAGGGUCCCCAUUAAUUAUUGAAGCAAUUCAUAUAUUUUUCUGUGUCUCGUGGACACGUAACUUCCAUCGUUUGAGCUUCCACAUGGUAAUUGAUACACCACUAAACCGCAACUGGCGGAAACCUCCAAGGAUGUUUCCAGCAAGUUGGCCAAGUUGUCCCGUGAAGUGUCCCUGUUAAUUAUUGAAGCAACGAGAAAAAACAAAAUUAUUAUGGAAAAUGGAAAAAUGACAUAGCAUAAAUUAUUAAAUUGAUUCCAUAUACAAAUUUUUGAUAGAAAGUUGAUGAAAUUUAACAGCAUUGUGACACCAUGUUUCACGUCGGUGUCUAUGUCUUCUUUGGUCAUACCAUUAGGCAUUUCCCAGUCAAAUGAAUAAAGAAGAUUACCUAGGGCAAGCUGAAUAAUCACAGUUCUAAGAUAUAUUCCAGGACAACCUCGUCGGCCAGCCCUAAAGGCCAUUAGCCCAUAAUGUUGUCCUUUGAAGUCGAUAAAAGUACCCAAAAAUCGCUCAGGGUUGAACUCGUGGGGGUUUUCCCUGGAUUCAGGAUCCCUUCCAAUUGCCCAUGCAUUCACAAACACUAGGGUUUUUGGUGGUACCUCACACCCAUUGACACUGCAAUUUUCAGGUGUUGCUCGCGGUAUCAAUGGAAUGGGUGGAUGCAAUUUCAUUGUCUCCUUGGUUAAUGCCUUGAGAUAAGGAAGCUUCUCAAUAUCAUCUUCAUCUCUAAAGCCCUUCUUUCCUCCUAUAUUUCUGAUUUCUUCUUGGGCUUUCUUCAUCACUAUUGGAUCCUUCAUUAGAGCUGUCAUUGCCCAGACCAAGAUGGCUGCAAUUGUAUCAGUUCCUCCUACAAAUAUAUUCUGCUAAGAAAAUUAGUAUAUAUAUGUGGAAAUAUAAUUCAUGUGUAUCUUCUUCAGAUUAAAAAUAAUUAACUUGAAAAACUGACUACCAUGACCACUGCCUUAAUGUGAUCUUGAGUGAUAUCAAUUGCAAAUGAACUGUCAUUAAUUCUGCCGACCAAUUAAAAUGUCAGCGAUGUCUUCUUGCUCAUAUUUUGUUCUCUCUGGAUUCAGGUGGUCGAUGAUUUCUUGGUAGAACAAGUCCAAUUCCCUCAAAAUUUUCUGGAGCCGUGCAGUUAGGCCAGUGAGUUUGUCUACCCAGCCCAUAAAGGGAAAAUAAUCCUUAAAAAAAGAAGCUCCCAUAAUGGCUUGAGCUUCGGAUAGGAGUGUAUGAAAUCUACUUCUUUCCCAUCCUUCAUCCUCGUACCUUUUACUGAAAGCAAUCCUACAGAUGAUGGUGCUUGUGAGAAAAUGCAGUGUCUCGCUCAAAUUGACGAGUUUGGAAGCAGAAGCGAACUUGGAAAUUUUCUCAAUCAUUCUAGAAACCUCAUCCUCCCGAAUAGAACGAAAGGAUUGCGCCCUUUUAGAGUUGAAGAGAUGAAGAGUACAAAUCUUUUUCAUCUCCCUCCAGUAGUUAGUAUAUGGAGCAAAAGCCAAAUCUAGGCCAUUUUAGGAUAACUUUUGCUGGCCAAGCAGGGAAGGCCUACUAGAAAAUUCUAGAUCAUGGGUUUUCAUGACCUCUUCUGCCAUUCUUGCAGAAGAAACCACUAGGGUCGGCACGAAACCGAGGCGCAAGAACAUGAGGGCGCCGUAUUUCUCAGAAAGCUGCCAAAGGUAGCGAUGAGGAGCUGAUUUAUCAAGGUGGAGCAAGUUCCCAAUGAAGGGAAGGCCUGGAGGACCUGGUGGCCGGAAGAAGCAUUCCUCCAUUGUCUCUCUUAUUUCCAAGAGGAUGAGAGGAAGAGCCAAAAGGAUAAUGUUGGAAUCCGUGCAAGCGAUUAAUGGCGAAAAAUAGAAAAAAAAGAGAAAGAAACGUGGUUUGUUUAAUUGCUUAUGUCCACAGGGAAAAAUUAUAUUUACUAUGUUAAAAUUAGAUUUACAUAAAAGGGUAUUUAUACUAACCCUUAAAAAAAAAUUUCAAAAAUAUCCAUGAAUCAUAACGAGGGCACCCCCAACCUAUCGUUUGCCCCACAACAAAAUAAGUUCAAGUCUGAAUAGUAAAUGUCGUCGCUACACUCUCGUUCCACUCCGCUUCACUCCAAUAUUUUGCCCAUUUUCUUCAUAUGUCUUUUCGCUCAUAUAUGAACCACAUACUACAAGAGAUAAGAACUAACAUCAUCAUGGUCUGAGAAGCUGCUUAUAGGUGUGCUAAAAAAAGUCUCUAACUAUGAUUUCCCUGUAAAUCGUAGACCAUCGUAGACCAUCAUAAUCCAUGGGAGAAUAUUACUUACACCCACAAUAUUAUUAUAAUCUAUAGCUAUUCUUCUGCUUAAAUGGGCUGUGCAACCGAUAACUUGUGCUACACCACUGUUUUAAGUAUUUAGGUCCAGAUGUGGGCCUAUGAAAGCAAAUAAAAAAAUGGAAAAUACGUUAUGGGCCUCCUAAGGAAGCUCAAUAUUAGGAUUAAUGGAACAUUAACUCUUGGUUUUUUUGAGGUAAAUACACCUGAAACCUCAAACAAAAAGCAGGAGGAAGGUGUCUAUAUUAUAUGGGCCCUCUAAAUCCAAAUAUACAUUCAAAUCUUAUUGGGAUCCAUUCCAUGGAGAUGGGUGGCUGAAUAAAUGAAUUUUUGACAAAGAACUCUUUUGAAUUUCUUUAAUUUAUAUAUCCUUCUAUAGUGUGACAUGGAAUAAAAUUUAAUAGAGUAAAUCAAUUUAAUAAAUUAAAGUAAUUUAAUAAUUUAAUUUAAGUUAUUAAAUAUAUUUAAUUAUAUAACUUAAAAUAAAAAAUAAUUUUAAAUAAAAAAUAAUAAAUAAUUAAUUCAUUAUUAAGUUUAUAUUUUUAUUUUAUCUCAUGUUACAAGAAAUCGCUGAUAUAUCGUGUGUAUCAUAUGAUAUUUUAAGGUGAUAUAUGGGAAGCAGAAAAAUCGGUAAAUGUCAUAAAAAAUCUCCUCGGUAUAUAUGGAGAUAAAUAAUCGAUUUUUUCAUUUUAUCGGGCCAGGCGGCGUGUUUUCGUCGAAAUAUAGGCGAUAAAUGGUCGAUUUUUCCCAACAUUGGUUUGUGGGGCCCAGGUCAGUCUCCUGCCGUCGCAAGUUCACGCUGUCAGCCUUGUGGGCCCCAGGAGAGAAUCUGCCAUCAAGCCAGCACUUCACGUCCACGCGUCACCAGACCUUGUGGGCCCCAGGUCACAGUCUCCCACCAGCACUUCAAUGCAUCUCAAGCUGCAUUUUGAGGAAAAUUAAAGUUUAACAAGCGCCCAGGUCAAGUCUCCCAUCAGCACUUUAAUGCGUCACAAGCUGCAUUUCAAUUUUAAGGAAAAUUAAGUUUAAAUUAAAUUAAAUUUACAUUUGAAAGGGAAGGUGUAGACCCCCAUAUGGGGCUCGCUUUUUUAUUUUCUGCAGGUCACACUUCUUGCCAGGUGGAGGACUAUUCUAGGGCCAUGUGUGAAUCACACUAGUGCUUUGAUAGGAGCUAUCAAGAGGCGACGCCUGUGGGAGAAUAUGCAGAGGAGUUUUCGUUUCUGUUGAGAAGUGGCAGGCCAGCUGCAGGUUGGCGGGGGUAGUGCUUUUGGGGCAGUGAGAUAUUUUUGGGAGCUGGCAGCUAGAGAAAAGGAGGAGCGUAUGGGGGGGGGGGGGGGGUUAUGCUGGCGGGAGGGAUUUUGCAAGGGGAUUCAGUUUUUGGGAGGUCCUGGAGCUUCAGGGAGAGUAUCCGUUUAGCUUGAGAGGGAGGUCAGUUGAAGAAGAAAGAUGGCUUGUUGAUUUCUGGCCAACCUAGCUGGAGAGGAUUAUUUUCAGGUAUGUUUAUUGUGGAUUUCUCAUUCGCUUCAACUGGUAAGUUUUUCUUCUCUUGUUUUUGUUGAUUCUUGGAUGAUUUUUGUUGGUUGGGAGUAAGCAUGCUCAUAUCUCUUUCUUUAAUGAUUUUUGUUGAGGACCCGUUUGGCUCUAUUUCAGUUUCCCCAUGAGACAUCUGUAACCUUGUUUUGAUUUUUAUUUAGUACUCAUUUGAUUUCAUCCACCCUCAUAUGAGCUCAUUAAUUAAUAUAUGAAAUGAGGCUUGUAUGAAUUCAUUUCGUUCCUAUUGCUUGCACUCUGUUUUCAUUUUCCCCUGUUUCUGGUACCUGUUCGUGGAGUGCAUCAUUAUUCCCAUUUCUGCCCGUGGGAGCAAAGAGUUACAGAGGAUAUAUCUUCAGUGGUGAAUGGGUUGUAUGUUGCUGUAUGAGAGCUGUCGUCAGGAGAGCGUAUUCAGUGAGAGAGGAAGCUGAGGUUAUAGAGAGAUAUGGAGAGCUUGAAAAGCAAGACUACUUGAGAGAGUGGACUGUGAAGAACAAGCUGGGCAUUUGAGAAGCAGAGAAGGCCUUUAAAUUGAUUGAAGAGAAAGGUGUGAUUUCAUGGAACACCCUUAUUGCUGCUUGUUCUCAUUGUGAUGAUCAUGCAAAGGGCUUGAGAGUUUUCAAGCACAUGACAGAAGAAACUAAUGUAAGGUCUGAUGACUUCACUUUUACCAGUGCCCUUGCUGCCUGUGCAGGGCUUGCUUCAAUGAGCCAUGGUAAGCAGAUACAUGCUCAUCUAAUAAGAACGAGGCUGUAUCAGGAUCUGGUAGUUGACAACGCACUUGUGAACAUGUAUGCUAAAUGUGGUUGUAUUGGCUAUGCAUAUGAUAUAUUCAACAAAAUGGUCCAUCACAAUCUUGUCUCAUGGAACACCAUAAUUGCUGGAUUUGGAAGUCAUGGGCUUGGGGAGAGAGUUGUAGAACUUUUUGAAUAGAUGAAUGCAAUUGGGAUAAAGCCAGAUUCGGUUACAUUUAUUGGACUUCUAACAGCUUGCAAUCAUGCCACAGCCAAGCCCAAGCCAAUACCAAGCCCCAGUCUUGUAAGAAACUUAACUUGGCAGAACCAAGCUCCAGCAAGUCAUAUCCCCUCCAGCCAAGUUCCAACGAGACUCAAUCCUCCCACUCACAAACCGGUGCAACCACUAACAGUUUAAGAGACACACUUAAUUUGUCUCCUAGAAAUAAAGCAAGCAAAGCUGUCCUCGAAUGCCGCCGGUGGCGAAACGCUUCCACUCUGACUACGUCGUGCCCUCAACUAUCGACUCUGAUCGCCGUUUCUCCAGUCGACGCGUGUCGUCGGAAGACUUGACGCUAAUCGAUUCUCUGCCAUCUCAUCUGGCCCUCAUGAUGGCUUCGGUAUUUGUGAUAUUGUUGCUAGUUCCAUUAAGGCUGCUACCAAAGUGAUUGAGGAUCUGCAGGAGAAACUUGAAGUUGCUUUGCAGACCAUGAAGCAGUCUGUAGUUCAUACAAGGAAGUGAAUGAGAGGUUCAAUGAAUUGCAUGGGAAGAAUGAAGUGGAAUUCAACAUCUGUGUUGAUGGGGACAUCACUAAAUUUGACAUUGUUAAAUUGUGCUCCAAUGUAUUCUCGAAAGAGUUUAGAGUUCUGGACAGCUGCUUGCAAUGAUCUCGGGGAGAUGCAUAAAGCUUGGAUAAUGAAAAAGGUGAUAAAGAGCUUAGGGAGCUCCAUUGUUGUUCAUGGAAAAUAGGCUAUCUGUUUGACGCAAAUCAUGGUUACUCAUCCUCCAAAGCCUGGAGGUUAUGAUUUGAAAUGCAAGAAGGUCCUCAAUAAGCUGUCCAAGGGCAAAGCCAAGAACUGACUUCAUGAUCUACAGAGGAUAUUCAUAGACUUAUAGUCCGCGAGGUCAGAACGUUGAUUGUUGGGUAUCACAGUCCCUGAAAGAACAGCAACAGAUUGAAAUAGAGAGUUCUUUGACCAGGAUCCAUUUAGUCAAAUUGGCUUGGUGACCAUAAAGGAUGGGUUGGCUCAGUGUUUAACAGAUCUUGGUGGCAGUCCUGAUUCCCAUGUUAAAGCUUUGAUGGCUUCUGAUAUACCUAGUAUAUCUUCUCCCAAUACUGGGUUAUCUGUUGCAUGUGCACCAUUCACCAAGCAAAAUGCGCUCUCACUGUUGGACUGAAGUCACCACCUGAACUAUAAGCAAGGUCUCCCAGCUCAGUUCCUUAUAUCCAUUAAGAUGAGAAGCUGGCUCAGAAUUUCCCUCAGUAGCAACCUUGGAUAUAAGCCACCUUCACAGUCUUUCCUGUUUGCUUCAUAAGAUGAAAAUCUCCUGAAUGACUAGUCAGAAAUGUACUCCUUUCCCAUCGGUGUCAUCCAGCAGCAAAGAAGUUUGGCUGGAGUUGAAGUUUAGCUGGAGAAUGGCAUUGGCAACUUCGAUUGGGUUUUGGGAUCAGCCUUUGGAAUUGGUUCUGGAAUUCUUGCAAUCGCAGCACUUAAGUUUGGCGCUGCCUCAGCAGUCGGAAUUGAUGUAGAUCUCCAAGAAGUCACUGCUGCAAUUCAGAAUGCCGCUCUGAACAACAUAAGCCCCUAAUAAAAUGCAGUUAACCCUAUUUCCACCCAGCCAAGGAAGAAAGACAGUUCUGCACCGUCAUUUGACCUUAAUCAGGCAGCUAGCACUGAAGAUGAUAGGGCUGAUGGAUCUCACAAUUUAGGCGACUUCCCCAUUGACCACGAAGCCGAGCAUAGUCCCGAAAACAGGUGUAUGUUUACAACUUCAGCAUCGAGGGAGUUGUUCAAUUCAGUAGACAAUGUCAUUACCUUCAAGCCUGUGGACUUUAACCUGAUUCGACACCAAGUCAGAAGCUGCAUUGCCAGGAAAUUUUCCUCCGUCAUAGGUGACAAGCUUUCAAUCCAAAUAGAAGAUGAAGCUCUAGAGAAAAUGUUUAGCUGCUUCACAACUGGGCAGUGUAGUUCUCAUAGGUUUCUAGGGCGCGAGGGGCUGACUGAGAGUCACUUAAUGGAUAUUCCUCAUGGUUCUGAAUAUAUGCUGACAUAUGAGGAUCAGAAUGAAGAUACAUCCAGAUCAAGGCCCUUGGUGCUUAGAUGGAGCAAUGAAGAAUUAAGAUUUUCCACUGGCAAUGAUGGAGUUACUCGUCUUCAACACUGUUUAAAGCUUUGGAGUGCAUACUAUGGCGUUCCUAGAAGCUGUAGAACAAGAGAAUAAUUAUGGGGAACCUUAGCAACAUCAUACCACUCCAAGUCUAUGGGAACUGUUGACUAUAUAUGGCAUAUUGAGGAAUUUGUUCUUGUGAGAGUUCUUGAAACCUUACCUGUUGAUGUUUUAAGGAAAAUAGGAGGGCUCUCAAGUGAGAAAUGGAGCAGCGACCAUCCUGCUCUCGUGUGUACACUGGCCUUUGCAGGUGAUGGCAGUAGUUCUUGACCUGGUUCAAACCCUCUGAUUGGCAUUUAUUGGAGGCUAGUGUACAAAAUGCCAUUUUAUGCGGUUUCUUGGAGUUGGGCUGCUGCUCUCAAGUUCCCAUUGAAGGAUAUAUGGUGCAACCCUAGCAUCUCUUUGAAUGAACAAAUUCAUGCAUGGAGUCUUGUCAUUGUGGCUGCAGUUAGAGGUUCGUCAGCUUACCUUAUGCCUUCAGCGCACUAGGUGGAGGCUCGAGCUCAAUCAAAGAGUCAAUAUUUCUGGGGAAAGCAAAAAGGCCUGACGAAGUCAUUGACAUCUUCCAUUUGAUGCGUGUUGACUGUCGUAUAUGUACCCAGACACUGCCGCAUACCUCCUCCACAUAUGAAUGAUCUUAAAUCCUCAGCACAAGGAUAGUUUGAGCACAUGCUAACUGAAGAUGAUGAUGUCCUUCUACUGAUGGCUGAUGAUGAGAUAAAAUUUGAAGUAUGGUGUAUUGGUAACAGAGAAUUAGGAAUAUGCUAUGAAGCAGGGUACAGUUGACUGUGGUGCUUAUCAUGUGACUGAUUCGAGAGUUGAUGGGCUUGGUGUUUCAUUUUGCAUUGAGGGCAGCCUUGAAGAUGCUAAUGUCACUCGUCCUAUUCCAGCCGAGCAAGCAGUGCUGAUUGCUAAUUCAUCAUCACAUGGAGAAUUGGCGUCCCCCAACGGCUCCUUGAUAGCUGCAGGCAGUGAAGGGUGAGCAGGGUCCUCACAACAUAUGACUAUUCAAGCACCCAUUCCCACUGCAUGGCCACCUUAGUAUGGGCACCUUUUGGCCACGUGACUUUCUUCCACUUCCUCGUCCAUUAAUUUUGAAAAUAAUUUUUCUGAACUCCAUUUUGUAAAUAACCUUUUUUUUUUCAAAUAAUUACAACUCUCAUUUUUCAUCCUUAGGGUUUUUAGGUUCCAAAAUCUCGUUUUCAAUAAAAUUUUGCCGCCAUUUUCUUUCUGACAAGCUACUUUCAAAUUUUCUUUGUUUUUUAAAAAAAAACGUUUUAAAAAUACUUGUGAACUAAAUUCCGUAAUUCCAAGUGAUGGAAUUUAUGGAAUUAGUUCAUGUAACAAUAAACGGGCUUUGGUAGGGGCCCGACAUAUGUGAUUGACUGACUAAUUGAUUGAUUGAUUGAUUUGAUUACCACACAUGAUUGAUUUGUUUUGCUCUAUGACAUGCAUGAGAUUAUUCUUUAAUUGUGCACUAACCCCCUCUCUUGAUAGCGCAUGAUGGUUCAUUGCCUAAGUACGCACUCAUUCUCACUCUGGUUAGUCUAUAUGCAUUUUCCGACUCUCAUAUGUGCAUGAUUCGCUCUAGGUAUUCAUUGAUUUUCUUAUUGAUUGUCAUGUCAACUUCAUUUUAUUAGUAGAGACCCGAUUUUAAGGACUUAGAGGGGUACUACGGUCUUUACCGUACCUUCUCGAUAAGUAACCUGACCCCCGAACCCGAUCCGAUUUUUCACAGACCACCUUUUCCAAAAUAAGGAAUCACACUUAGGGUUUUUUUUCUUAUUUUGUUUACCUUUUAAAAAUAAAACAAAAAUAAGUGGCGACUCCAAGUCAUUUUCCAAUAAAUAAAAAUCGAGCUCGCCAUAGAGUGGAAAACGCAUGAGCCAAAAUGCGGGGUCCACAGAAGGCCAUGCCUUCCAGUAAAUUUAUAUAUUUAUUAUUUUAUUGAUAUAUAUUUAUUAUAUAACAUUAAAAUUAUUAUAUAAGGUAUUCCAAAGAUAAAUUUCUUAAUACUUAUAUAUAUAUUAAAAAUUAUAGGUUUAUAAAUUAAUACAUGUUUUUUUUUGUGUAUAUAAAUAUCAUAAAUUAAUUAGAAUCAAAUUGUUAUAAAUAAAUUAAUUUUAAUUAUUAUAUCUUUUGUAUAAUAACUAAAUACCAAAUAAAUAUAAAUUAAUAAAUAAAAUUAUCAAUAUUUUAAUACAAAAUAAUUAUACAUAUAUUAUCAUUCUUUUUAUAUCAUUCAUGAAUAUAUCCAAAUUAGAUAGAUGUAUAUAAAAUAUGUUUUUAAGUUAUUAAUAUUAUUAUUAAAUAUUAUAAAUUAUAUUAUGCAUGCAUUAAUUCCUUCAACAAAACAAUUUUAAAGUGUUUAUUAUACUUUUAAUUUAAUUUAAAAUAUCUAUUAUACUUCUAAUUUAAUUUUUAAAAGUUUUUUUCUUAUAUUUCUAUGAGUUUUGAUUAAUUUUUUGUUUAUGGAUAUUUUAUGUCAAAAUAUCAGUUGAUAUUUCAUGUCAAAAUAUCAGUUGAUAUUUCAUGUCAAAAUAUCAGUUGAUAUUUCUCCAAUAUAUUCCUAAAAUUGAAGUACUGAUAUAUUCAUAAUUACCAAUAUUUUUAUAAUUGAUUAUAAGUUAAUUUUAUCAAACAAUCUUAAUAUACUUAAAAUAAUAAUUAAAUAAUAAAUUUUAAAUCAACAAUUUAAUAAUAAUUUAACUUAAUGUCAACUUAAAUAUUUACUUAAAUUUUACCCAACACUCCCUUAAUUUUUUUUUACAAACACCCGCUUAAUUUUUGUUUGAAUUGAUUGUUAUAGAAACCUUGAAUCAAAUUAUAAUAAUAUUAAAAUGAUUGACGUGUAGGAUAAGGAAAAAGAGAAAAGGCAUGGACGACUUUUCAUCGAAUAAGAUAAGAAGAUGAAAACAAAUAUACGGAGAUGCUUCCAAGAAUGGCAUGGAUGAUAUAUUUCCUUUUGUUUUAAAUGAUCGAUCCUGCUGGACCACAAACUAGGAAUGAAAAAUGUAAAUAAUUUGAGUCUGAAUCUUUCUUUUGAGGUUUGAUAUUUUCUGCCACUUUGUUCUUAAGCAUUUUCAACUUAUCUUGGAAGUAGAGGAAAAAUGGACUGAGCCCAUGGUCUAAUAACCAAGGACCUUCAUCGUCUGAAUUUCAAUAUGAAAAUGGUGCAAUUAACAUUAUAUAAAAUUGAGUACCGUCAUCAAUACCAUAAAAUAUUAGGUCAUAUUAUUGGAUCCAAAUAAGAAAAUCGUAGGAUUAAGAGUACAUUAUUCUCAGAUAACUUUUACAGGAACAUACACUAGAUGUCCAUUAAUUAUAUUUCUUAGCCAUAAGGCAAAGAGCAUUCUUCUUGUGCAUUGUAAGACCAGGUAUGACAUCAAAGUCAAUGUCUUCCUUGUUCAUUCCAGCAGGCAUUUCCCAGUCAAAUGAGUAAAGAAGAUUAGCUAGUGUGAGCUCCACUGUCACAGCUCCGAUAUGUAUUCCUGGGCAAACUCUUCGGCCUGCUCCGAACGGUAUCAGCUUAUAAUUUUGUCCUCUGAAGUCCACGGAAGAACCCAAGAAUCUCUCCGGUAUGAACUCUUCUGGGUUUUCCCAGGCCUCCGGAUCUCUUCCAAUGGCCCACGCAUUCACAAAUACUAGGGUUUUGGGUGGUAUCUCAUACCCAUCUAUACUGCACUUCUGAAGUGUUUCUCUUGGAAUUAGCAAUGGAACUGCAGGAAGCAGCCUCAUCGUCUCCUUCACUACUGCCUUGAGAUAAGGAAGCUUCUCAACAUCAUCUUCCCCUAUAAAUCCCUUCUUUCCAAAUGUAUUUCUCACUUCUUCUUGGGCUUUCUUCAUCACUCUGGGAUUCUUCAUUAAUGCUGUCAUCGCCCAAAUCACGGUGGCUGCGCCUGUAUCUGUUCCUCCCACAAAUAUAUUCUGCAAAGAAAAUUAAUAUUCAAGUUAAAAAAGAUUAAUAAUAUUCAAGUUAGUGAAGGAUUGAUUGAUUACCAUGAGCACUCCUUUAAUGUGAUCCCAAGUGAUAUCAAUGGCAAACGAGUUGUCCUUCUGCAGUCCAAUCAAGACGUCGGUGAUGUCCUCUUGUUCUUGUUUUUUUCUGUCUGGUUUCAGAUGAUCUUCGAUAAUUUCCUGGUAGAACAAAUCCAUAUCCCUGAAAGUUUUCUCGAGCCGAGCAGUCAGGCCGGUGAGUUUAUCGAGCCAACCUAUCAAAGGAAAAUGAUCCGAGAAAAAGAAGCUUCCCAACAUAGCCUGAGCAUCAUUUAGAAGUCCAUGAAAUCUACUUCUUUCAAAUCCUUCAUCCUCGUACCUCUUGCCGAAAGCAACCCUACAGAUUAUGGUGCUUGUGAGAAACAUCAGUGUCUCGCUCAAGUUGAUAAGUUUGGAAGCAGAUGCCAACUUGGAUAUUUUUUCAAUCAUUUGGGAAACCUCAUAUUCCCGAAUAGGAGUAUAGGAUUGAACCCUUUUCAAGGUGAAGAGAUGAAGAACACAAAUCUUUCUCAUUUCUCUCCAAUAAUCAUUGUAUGGUGAAAAGGCCAAAUCUAGGCAGUUGUAAGAUAGCCUUUGAGGGCCAAUCAAGGAAGGCCUACUAGCAAAUUCAAGAUCAUGUGUUUUCAUGACCUCCUUUGCUAUUCUGGCGGAAGAAACCACUAUGGUGGGGAUGAAGCCGAGGCGCAAGGACAUGAGGGAUCCGUAUUGUUUAGAGAGUUGCCAUAAGUAGCGAUGACGGGCUGAGUUAUCCAUCUGGUGCAGGUUCCCAAUGAAGGGAAGCCCAGGAGGACCCGGUGGAAGGUGGAGUAGUCCUCCAUUUUUUCUGUGUUUUCGAUGAAGAAACAAGAGCAAGAGAGGAAAAGCUAGAAUGACAAAAAGCAACACUGUCAUGGUGUGAAGAUCUUCACUGCUAUGAGUUAGUGCUAUAUUGCUAUGUAAGGAAUGGGCAAAAGACGAAUCCUAUAUAAUAUAAUUCUGGACUGGGCUCUUGCCGUAUCGUACCAAUCUUAUUAAAUUUUAAUUAUUACAUAUUCCAAGAACUCAGUACGUGGAGAUAUAUUAUAUAUUGGCCUUAAUUGGAAGAGUACAUGUAACUUACCUAAUCCAUAAAAGGGAUAUAAGAUAUGAAAAUACUAAUAUAUCCUUUAAAUUUUUAUAUAUUACCACUAAUUGAUUUUAAGAUUAUAAAAUAAUGAUGAACCAAAAUAUUCAUUGACCAUUCAAAUAAACUUUUUUUAUCUUUAUUGCAUUACUAUUCAUGCAACCAUAAUAAUUCUAUUUUAACUAUUUGGAUUUCUAAUUAUUUUUUAAAACUUUUUUUUAUAAAUAAUUGAAAAAAUUAGCAUUAUUUUUUAUUUUAAAUUAUAAAUGAAGAAAAUUUAUGUUCAAAAACUAUUUUAAAAAAUACUUUCUAAAAAAAUGGUAAUAUGAUUUAUAUUUUUUAUAUUUUCUUUUUGAAAAAACAUUUAAUUAAAAAAUGAAAACUAUUUUUAAAAUUAAAAAUUAAAAACCUUAUUUAGUACUAUUUUUUAUAUGAAAAUAAUAAAAAUAAAUACAUUUCAUUAAUUAAUUAUCCAUUUUUAUUUUUCCAUUAGUUAUUUUAAUAUAAUAUAUAUAUAUAUAGCAUGUUUACAAUUAAACAAAGGAAUUUGGUCAAUUAUGUGUUUUUCGUGUGACUAUCUUUUACAUGAAAAAUAAUUAAAUAACUAAAUUAUAUAUAUUUAUUACUUUUUUUAAUUUUUUUUCUUUAUUUUUUUUUUGUCUAAUAGAAAAUUUUAAUAUAUCCAUAAUUAACAAAGUAAUAGAUCAAUUGUGCACAUUUUCAUCUAUUAAAAUAAAUUACUUUCUAAUUUAAAUAAAUAAAAUGAAAUAAGUAAAUAAAUUUGAGGUUAUUUGUAUUUUUUAACAUAUCUUAUAUUAAUAUUUUUACGGUUAAAUUAAUUUUUUUUAUUUUUUAUUUAAUUCCAAAAAUAAAAUGAAAUAAAUAAAUAAAUUUGGUAGUUUUUAACCAAUCUUAUAUUUAUAUUUCUUAUGGUUAAAUAAAUUUUUUAUUCUUUUUUCUUUAUUUCCAAAUAUAAAAGGAAAUAAAUAAAUAAAUUUGUCUUAAAUAAUAGUUUUUAAGUAAUUUCUUGUUUUAUUUUUAAUUAAAUUUUGCAUUGAAAAUAAAAUAAAAUAACGUUUUAUUUGUUUUGAUUAUUUUAAAAGUCAAACUAUUGGGAACAUAAUUUACAUACUCAUGUGAAUAUAAUUUAUGCAUAUGAAUGUGUGAAACCAAUGUUUGGUUAAUCUCAGUUUUAAUGAUAACAAAACAAGGUUUAGAACUAAUGAUUAUAUUUUUAAGUGUGAUUAGGCAAGACGAUUUUCAAAGUGGCAAUUACAAAGACAAAUUAAGCCAAUGAGAAAUCAUGAAAAAAAAGACCACCUCAAAGAGAAGUGUUUUUCAAGACCCAAGCUUCAUAAAGAUCUCUUUGUAAGGUUGUUGGUGCACUAGAAUUUUUAUGCAUUACAUUCUUUACUUAUGCACCAAAGUCAUCCAAGAGUUAUUUUGUUGUAAAUAUUUUAAAUUGGAUGAUUUCAUGUUUUCAACUAAAACCUUGUGUCAAAUGUUUUUCAAACUUGUUUAAAAGGUUUUAAGUUGAAAAAGUUGGUUGUUGAGCCAAAAACGACUCAACUGGUUGAACCAGAUGAGGAACCGGUCGACCCCCAACUUAACCGAUCUAGGAGCAGGUCGACCCCCAAUUCAAUCGGUCAAAGGUGUGAACAGUAACCGAUCGACCGCCAACUCAACUGGUCGAGGGGUGUAAAAAUCUUCUCUCUCUUCCAGAAUGGUUGUUCAACCAAAUGAGAAAUCAGUCAACCCACACCACAAUCGGUCGAGGUCCAACGGUCACCUGCUAAGCAUUAAAUGUUAACGGCUAGUCAACCGAUCGACGCUUAACUCGACUAGUCGAACCCUCAACGGCUAGUUUGACUUUUUUUUCUUCUAUGAAAAGACUCCAAAUCUUCAUUAUUUAUGAGCUCAACCUUCCCAAACCUUUUUUGAAUAUAUUUGAGCCAUGGAAAAGUGUUUUGAGUGCACCAUUAUUCUAAAACUUGCAUAUCAUUAGUGCACCUUUCAAUCCUAGUUUUCUUGUAUCAUUUGAGCUUAAAGAUUUUGUACUAGGAUUUUGUGAGAUUAAUUAUUUGUAUAUAUUUGAGAGUAAGAUUCUCAAGUGUGGGGUAUCUCUUAAGGAUUUUAAAGGGUGCUUAGAGCCAAAAGUCCAAGAUGGUAGAUUGGAACCAUAAUUCAAUUUUAUUACUUGAAUGUUUGGUUUAGAAGCCUUGAAUUAGUAGAACCUCAAGCUUAGGAUUGAAACUAGAGGAGAGUGGAUGUAGGUCGGGUUGCGUCGAACCACUAUAAAAUUUUGUAUUUGCAUUCUCUCUUCCCUACUCUUUUACUUUAUAUGCAAUUGUCUUUAUAUUGUUUUAUUAUAUACUUACAUAUAUUUGUCUCUUACAUUCACAUAGUUUAAAUUUUGCAAAAAAAAACCAUCACUCUAUUUACUCCCCCCUCUAGGGUGAUUACCAUAGGUUGAAUUAGCCUAAAUUUUCUAACAGUAUAAAAUGUAUACCAUUAUACAAGGCUAUUACACUAAUUGUACAAGGGGUGUACAAAACUGUACAUUUUGAACAACUUUUUUUUUCUUGUCAUCUAAGGAUUAUACACUCUCUUACCACAAAUUCUUUCAUUUCAUGUACUUUAUUUAACUUACAUAUGACAAUUCAAAUACUUACCCUAAUAAUGAUAUUUGAGGGAAAAUUUUGUUUUUACAUUUUAUAUCAUUUUCUAAAUUAAACCAAUGGAAACAUGAUUCAUACAUCAUAUGUGGACACAUAAUGUAUGCAUAUGGAUGAAAUUUAUAUCAUUGUACAAGGGUGUUAUAUUAACUGUGCAAGGUAAAUGUUCAAUUGGAUAAAAAAAAUGUUCUAACUAUACAAAACAAAUGUUCUAACUAUACAAGGGGUAUACAAAGCUAUCCUUUGUGAAAGAUUUCAAUCAAUUUUGGACAACUUUUUUUUUUUUUUUUUUUUGUCUUGUCAUCUAAGGAUUGCACACUUUCAAGGUACACAUUUCUCUAUCACACACUCAUCUUAUGCAUUUUAUUUAACUCACACAUGACAAUUUAAGUACUUAUCCUACUAAUGAUCUUUGAGAGAAAAUUUUGUUUUUUCAUCUUCCACUAUUUUUUGAACCAAACAAAUGAAAACGUGGUUAACCUACCUAUGGUUACACAUUGAGUAGGGGGUAUAUGGAAUUUGGGUCACUGUACAAGGUAUUUACACUAAGUGUACACGACAAAUAUACUAACUGUAGAAGGGUGUACAAGACUAUCAUUUGUGAAGAAUUUUAAGUGAUUCUGAAAAACUUAUUUGUUUAUUUCCCCUAACCAAGGAUAGAUGACAUUCCUUACAUACAUUGGUUAAGCAUACUGUGGACCCCGCAUUUCGGCUUAUGCAUUUCCCACUUGAUGGCGACCUCAAUUUUAAUUUGAAAAAUGAUUUUUAUUGAUUUAAGAAAAUAACUUGGAGUCGCCACUUAUUUUUGUUUUAUUUUUAAAAGGGUAAACAAAAUAAGAAAGAAAACCCUAAGUGCGACUCCUUAUUUUGGAAAAGGUGAUCUACGAGAAAUCGGAUCGGGCUCGGGGGUCAGGUUACUUAUCGGGAAGGUACGAUAAAAGACCAUAGCACCCUUCUAAGUCCCUAAAAUCGGGUCUCUACUAACAAAAUGAAGCUGACGUGGCAAUUUACGAGUAAAUCAGUGAAUAUCCUGAAUGAUCAUGCACACAUAAGAGUCAAGACAUGCAUAGACAACGAUUAGAGGGAAAAUGGGUACAUACCUGGGCAACAAACUGUCAUGCGCUAUCAAUAGAGAGGGUUAGUACACUAUAUAGAGCACAAAACAUACCACAUGCAUCACUAAGCAGGGAUUAAAAUUGUUCGAAGGAAAGCUGGAUUUUUUAAAUUCAUUUGAGAAUCGGAAUGUUAGAUAUUAUUUGAAAAUUGGAUUCUUAGGAAUUAAAUGUAAGAAAUGAGAACUUUUAGAAAUUAAAUUUGAAAGAAAAUUGGGAUUUUGAAGAAUUAUUUGAAAGUUCGGGAUUUUUAAGAAAAAUUAAGUUACGAAAAUUGGGAUUAUGGGAGUUAAAUUUCGAAAGGGAUCAGAAUCAUAAGUUUUUUUUUUUUGAGGCGUAGAAAUUAUGAAAGUUGAUGUGUAAAAAUUGGAAAUCUUAGAAAUCAUUCGAAGGCAGAAUUUAUAGAAAUAAUGAACAAUAUGAUAAUGAUAAUGAUAAUAAUAAGUAGCGGGGUAAAUACGGGAAUUGGAGCAUGGGAAACUGGAAAUUAAGUUCGGAGAUAGGACAAUUGGAAUUUCAGAUAGCUAAAUUUAGGAAUCAGAAUUUUGAAGAAUUAGACUCUAAUGAUUGAAAUUUUUAAGAGAAAUAAAUGGGUAAGUAUGGAGUAAUGUUACGGAUUAAUCAAAACGAUAUUUGGGCGGAUGAAUAGUGAAUAGUGGGAUUUUGAAAAUUAAAUUUUGAAAGUCGGGCCUUUGAAUAAUUAACUCUAAUUAUUGGAAUUUUUAGAAGAAAGAAGCAAGUAGACAUGGAAUUUAUAAUAAUGAUAACAAAGAUGAUAUUUAAAUGAAUAAAAGUGAAUGGUGGAAUUUUUUUUAGUCUGAAGGUUAAAUUUGGAAAUCCGGUUUUGAAGAGUUGAAUUUUAAUGAUUGAAAUAAAUAAAUGAACGAAUAUGGAAUAACGAUACUUAUUAACAAAAAUAAUGCUCAAACGAAUAAAAUAGUGGGAUUUUUCUAAUUGGAAAUUUGAAUUAGGGCGUUGGAUUUUUAAAGGAUAUGACUUUGAAUAAAUAGGUAAGUAUGAGAUUAUAAUACUAAUUAACGAAAAUAAUAUUUAGACGAAUAAAGAUGGAUAGUAGAAUUUUUGGGAUUGAAGUUUUAAUUAAGGCAUGGGGUUUUCGGAAGAUUGGACUUUGAAUAGAUGUGGAAAUAAUGAUUCUAAUUGAUGAGGAUAAAAUUUAGACGAACUGUAGAAUUUUUAGGAUUGAGAAAUUGAGUUAAGACAAGAGAUUUUUGGAGAACUAGGUUUUAAAUAAAUAGACGAAUACGAGAUAAUAAUCCUAAUUGAUGAAAAUAAGAUUUAAACGAAUUACUGAUAAACUAAAUUAAGACAGGGGAUUUUUGAAGGAUUAGAUUUUAAAUAACUAAAUAAACAUGGGAUAAUAAUUCGAUUUAUGAAAAUAUGAUUUAAACAAGUAUUUGAAGAAUUAAAUUAAAAACAUGGGAUUUUUGAAGGGGUAGGCUAGAUAAAUAAAUGAAUGUAUAAGAUAAUAAUUCCCAUUGAUGGACAUAAGAUUUAAACGAGUAUUUGAAGAAUUAAAUUACAGAAGUAGAGGAAAAAUGGACUAAGCCCAUGGUCUAAUAACCAAGGAGAUGUCACUAUGAUAGCCUUCAUCGUCUGAAUUUCAAUAUGAAAAUGAUGCAAUUAACAUUAUAUAAAAUUGAGUACCGUCAUCAAUACCAUAAAAUAUUAGGUCAUAUUAUUGGAUCCAAAUAAGAAAAUCGUAGGAUUAAGAGUACAUUAUUCUCAGAUAACUUUUACAGGAACAUACACUAGAUGUCCAUUAAUUAUAUUUCUUAGCCAUAAGGCAAAGAGCAUUCUUCUUGUGCAUUGUAAGACCAGGUAUGACAUCAAAGUCAAUGUCUUCCUUGUUCAUUCCAGCAGGCAUUUCCCAGUCAAAUGAGUAAAGAAGAUUAGCUAGUGUGAGCUCCACUGUCACAGCUCCGAUAUGUAUUGCUGGGCAAACUCUUCGGCCUGCUCCGAACGGUAUCAGCUUAUAAUUUUGUCCUCUGAAGUCCACGGAAGAACCCAAGAAUCUCUCCGGUAUGAACUCUUCUGGGUUUUCCCAGGCCUCCGGAUCUCUUCCAAUGGCCCACGCAUUCACAAAUACUAGGGUUUUGGGUGGUAUCUCAUACCCAUCUAUACUGCACUUCUGAAGUGUUUCUCUUGGAAGCAGCAAUGGAGCUGCAGGAAGCAGCCUCAUCGUCUCCUUCACUACUGCCUUGAGAUAAGGGAGCUUCUCAACAUCAUCUUCCCCUAUAAAUCCCUUCUUUCCAAAUGUAUUUCUCACUUCUUCUUGGGCUUUCUUCAUCACUCUGGGAUUCUUCAUUAAUGCUGUCAUCGCCCAAAUCACGGUGGCUGUGCCUGCAUCUGUUCCUCCUACAAAUAUAUUCUGCAAAGAAAAUUAAUAUUCAAGUUAAAAAAGAUUAAUAAUAUUCAAGUUAGUGAAAGAUUGAUUGAUUACCAUGAGCACUCCUUUAAUGUGAUCCCAAGUGAUAUCAAUGGCAAACGAGUUGUCCUUCUGCAGUUCAAUUAAGACGUCAGUGAUGUCCUCUUGUUCUUGUUUUUUUCUGUCUGGUUUCAGAUGAUCUUCGAUAAUUUCCUGGUAGAACAAAUCCAUAUCCCUGAGAGUUUUCUCGAGCCGAGCAGUCAGGCCGGUGAGUUUAUCGAGCCAACCCAUCAAAGGAAAAUGAUCCGAGAAAAAGAAGCUUCCCAACAUAGCCUGAGCAUCAUUUAGAAGUCCAUGAAAUCUACUUGUUUCACAUCCUUCAUCCUCGUACCUCUUGCCGAAAGAAACCCUACAGAUUAUGGUGAUUGUGAGAAACAUCACUGUCUCGCUCAAGUUGAUAAGUUUGGAAGCAGAUGCCAACUUGGAGAUUUUUUCAAUCAUUUGCGAAACCUCAUAUUCCCGAAUAGGAGUAUAGGAUUGAACCCUUUUCAAGGUGAAGAGAUGAAGAACACAAAUCUUUCUCAUUUCUCUCCAAUAAUCGUUGUAUGGUGAAAAGGCCAAAUCUAGGCAGUUGUAAGAUAGCCUUCGAGGGCCAAUCAAGGAAGGCCUACUAGCAAAUUUAAGAUCAUGUGUUUUCAUGACCUCCUUUGCUAUUCUGGCGGAAGAAACCACUAUGGUGGGGAUGAAGCCGAGGCGCAAGGACAUGAGGGGUCCGUAUUGUUUAGAGAGUUGCCAUAAGUAGCGAUGAGGGGCUGAGUUAUCCAUCUGGUGCAGGUUCCCAAUGACGGGAAGCCCAGGAGGACCCGGUGGAAGGUGGAGUAGUCCUCCAUUUUUUCUGUGUUUUCGAUGAAGAAACAAGAGCAAGAGAGGAAAAGCUAGAAUGACAAAAAGCAACACUGUCAUGGUGUGAAGAUCUUCGCUGCUAUGAGUUAGUGCUAUACUGCUAUGUAAGGAAUGGGCAAAAGAUGAAGCCUAUAUAAUAUAAUUCUGGAUUGGAUUCUUGUCGUAUCGUAUCAAUCUUAUUUUAAUAUUUACAUAUUUCUCUAUCAUCAAAGAAAGCUACCUAGGAUGGAGAGUUUAAGUCCAAAAUCCAUUGGUAGAAAAAAAUGGUAAGAAUAGUAUUCAUCUCAAAAUAUUUAUCAAAUUAAUCUUUUUGUAUUCACCUAAACAUCCACAUAAAUUUUUUUUAAGUGUAUAAAACCAUCAUUAGUGACUGUAGUUUUAAAAGUUUCAUAAAUAUCCUCAAAACCACAGUAUGUAACUAUGGUUUUACAAUUUUCCACAGUUAGUAACUGUGAUUUUAAAAUUAUUUUUAGUUCAUCCAUGUUUUAAUGGUAUUAUAAUUUUAAUAUUAUUUUUAAAAUAUUUUUUUAUCAUGAUAACCAUAAAACCACCGUUAUUAAGGAAUAACCUAAAAUCAUAAUCAUUGACAUUAAUUUUUAUAUAAAAAUAUAAAAUUUUAAAAUAAUAUAAAUAAUUUAUUUANNNNNNNNNNNNNNNNNNNNNNNNNNNNNNNNNNNNNNNNNNNNNNNNNNNNNNNNNNNNNNNNNNNNNNNNNNNNNNNNNNNNNNNNNNNNNNNNNNNNAAUUAAAGAAAAUUAUUUUUUCAUAUUAUUUUUAAAUUUUAAAAUAAUUAAAUAAAUUAUUUAUAUUAUUUUAAAAUUUUAUAUUUUCAUAUAAAAAUUAAUGUCAAUGAUUAUGAUUUUAGGUUAUUCCUUAAUAACGGUGGUUUUUAUGAUUAUUAUGAUAAAAAAAUAUUUUAAAAAUAAUAUUAAAAUCAUAAUACCAUUAAAACAUGGAUGAACUAAAAAUAAUUUUGAAACCGCAGUUACUAACUGUGGUUUUAAGGAGAAUUGUAAAACCACAGUCACAGACUGUGGUUUUAAGGAUAUUUAUGAAACUUUUAAAACCACAAUCAUUAAUGGUGGUUUUAUACAUUUAGAAAAAAAAAUCUAUGUGGAUACUUACAUGGAUGCAAAAAGAUUAGUUUGACAAAUAUUUUGAGAUGGGUACUAUUCUUACCAUUUUUUUUCUACCAAUGGAUUAUUUUGGACUUAAACUCUAGGAUGCAAGCAUUUGUAUUUUUGCAUGCUCCUCUCAAUUUUUUAUAAGAGUAUGGCAGUUUUAAAAAAUAAUUACUAAAUUAUCGUGGUAGGAAAAAUAAUUUUAAAUCUAUUGUAGUUUUGUCCAAAUAGGAAAAAGAAAAUAAAUUAUAAGUAAAAAAUCUCUUUUCAAAUGAUGAUUUAUGAAUUUUUAAAAAAAAUUAUUAAAAAAAAUCAUUUUUCCAAUACACAAUUUAUAAAAUUACAUUUUUUAUAUGAGAAAUUGUCUCUCAAAGAGACGAUUUAAAAAGAAAAACAAAAAAAAAAUUGAGAAAUAAAUCGUCUCUUCAAGGGAUAAUUUUCACAAAAAAAAUUAAACAAAGAGAAAUUGUCUCUUGAAGAUAUAUAUAUAUAUAUAUAUAUGUGUGUGUGUGUGUGUGUGUAUGUAUGUAUAACAAGUGAGAAAUUCUCACUUAAAAAAAGAAAAAUUCAAAAAUCCAUUUUUUCCAUUCUUUAUUCCACUUAUACAAUAAUACAAUUAUUAUAAAUAUAUAUUAUAAAAUUAAUUAAUUUUAUUUACUAGAUUUAAUAUAUAAAUAACAUACUAAAUUUAAUAUAAGAUAAAUAAUAUUUAUCUAUUUUUUUUUUCUCUUAGUUUGGAAUUUAAAAAAAAAACUAUUAUCAAGUUAUGUGAAAAAUGAGUUUAAAAAAAAUGUUAUUAAUUUAUUAAAUAAUUAUUUAUAAAAUACUUAAUUUUUUUGUUUUAAUUUUUAAAUUAAUUUUAUUAUAUAAAUUUUAAGAUUAAUCUUUAAGAGAUAAUUUCCACACAACAAAAAAAAAAAUAACAAGAGAGAAAUUCCCACUAAAACAAAAACAAAAACUUCAAAAAUCCAGUUUUCCAUUCCCUAUUAUUCUCAUACAAUAAUACAAUUAUUAUAAAUAUAUAUAUUAUAAAAUUAAUUAAUUUUAUUUAAUAAAUUUAAUAUAUAAAUAAUAUACUAAAUUUAAUAUAAGAUAAAUAAUAUUUAUAUAUUAUUUUUUUCUUUCACUUUGGAAUUUAAAAAUAAAAAAACUAUUAUCAAUUUUAUGUGAAAAUUGAGUUUAAAAAAUUGUUAUUAAUUUAUUUUGUAAAAAAAAAAAAAAAACAAAAAACAAAAACGUGAGAAAUUAUCUUCAAGAGACAACUUUCAGAAAAAUAAAAAUAAACUUCAAAAAUCCAUUUUUCCAUUCCCUAUUAUACUUAUACUAUAGUACAAUUAUUAUAAAUAUAUAUAUUAUAAAAUUAAUUAAUUUUAUUUACUAAAUUUUAUUUAUAAAUAAUAUACUAAAUUUAAUAUAAGAUAAAUAAUAUCUAUCUAUUAUUUUUUUCUUUCACUUUGGAAUUUAAAAAAUAAAAAAUAAAAUAAAUAAAAAGAACUACUAUCAAUUUUAUGUGAAAAAUGAGUUUAAAAAAACAAAUUUGUUAUUAAUUUAUUAAAUAAUUAUUUACAAAAUAAAUAAUGUUGUUUUGUUUUAAUUUUUAAAUUAAUUUUAUUAUAUAAAUUUUAAGAUUAAAAAUAUUAAUCUUUAAGUUAAAAUUUCACUGUAAAAUGAAUAAAAUAUUAAAAUAAAUAAAUUAAAUAAUUUUAAUUAUUCUUAAUCUUCAAUUUUUUCUUUAAAUUAAUUCAAUUAAUUACAACUAAUAAAAUUAAUUUAGUUUGAUAUUGUUUUUUAUUUAUAAGAUAAAUAAUAUUUAUCUAUUUUUUAUGUAAACAAUGAUUUUAUAAAAAACAAAUUUGUUAUUAAUUUAUUAAAUAAUUAUUUACAAAAUAAAUAAUUUUAUUUUGUCUUAAUUUUAAAAUUAAUUUUAUUAUAUAAAUUUUAAAAUUAAAAAUAUCAAUCUUUAAUUUCAAAUUUCACCGUAAAAUGAAUAAAAUAUAAAAUAAAAAAAAUAUCAUGAUUAUAAAAUUAAAAAUUUUAAAAAUAAAAAAAAAAACAAAAAAAAAAAACCAAUAACAUUGUUCAUGUAAAUGCUAAAAAACCAACAAAUAGUCCAACAAUUAAUAAAAUAUCAACCAUGAUAAACAAAAUACAAAAUCAAUUAUUAUCAUGAAUGCAAAAAAUCAAUAACCUUGUUCAUAUAAACCAGCAACAAAGAGAAAUAUAUAUAUAUAUAUAUAUAUAUAUCAACUAAUAAUUUGUAUUAAUAUGUUCAAUCUCUAAACAAUCAAACGUAUUCAAAUACUAAAUGAUCAAAGAUCAACUACUAUUAUGAAUAAAAAAAAAAUAAUACCUUGUCCAUAUAUAUAAACUAAUAAACCAACAAAUAUCCUAUAACUAACAAAAUAAUAACGAUGAAUACCAACAAAGCUAAAAUAUUAAAAUUCAACAUUAUUAUAUGACAAUUUCAAUAUUAGCAGACGAUAAAUUAACAUACGUCACUAAUAAACAAACAACUAAUAAAAGUUAGCAUGCAUCACCAAUACAAAUAAACCAACAAGUAACAAAAGAGCAACAUGUAUCAUCAAUUUAUGUUCAAUAAAAUAUAUGAGUCAUCAAUGUGUGCCACAUGAAGGAGACUUCCUUCUUCGUUGUGGGUGUUGGUGACAUCUUUCCAACUCCGAUUGAUCUAAGGGACCAUCUAAUGUUGUUCCAUUUCCUCGUCCUCGGCCUCGGCCUCUUCCUCGUCCAUAUCUUUGAUCUUGAACUUGGUCAUCUCCCUGUUGUUCAACAAAUGGUGUAGGAAAGAAUUGCAUUUGUGUCGCCACAUCAUCUCUAAACGAAUGUCCUAAUGAUUGUGGUGACAAAGCAAUGAGUGGUGUUGUAGGUGGAGUAAAUGACACCUCAAUACUAGACGACAUAGGUAUAUGAAAAGAAGGCUCAUCAAUAUAAGAAUGCAAUAGCUCUUGGAUGAAUGAUGUCCCAACAUCUUCCUGUAUCACCCUCUCAUCAAUGGAUGAAACUGAUUAAUAAGGUAAUGACUAGUCAAAUGGUGUAGAAAAAGUGAAGGCAAUAUGUUGUAGAGGCCAUGUUAAUGGAAAAUCUAGUGAUGCAUCAUCGAUAGGGAAGUGUGGAUCAUUAGAAAUAUGGCAUCCAGGUGUUCGUACACUUCCACAUUUAGUUCCUACACCUCCACCUGUAGUCCAAACCCCACCACCUCUAGUUCAUAUCCCACCAUCUCUCAUCAUUACCUCCUCAUCCGAUGAUUGUCUCUAUGUAUCAACGACAUUGGGGGGAAUAAGCAACCUAUCAGCCUCAUGUAUAACCUCUAAAGUGGUUGCACAUAAUUGAUGAAUUUCAUCAUGAUGACCUAUAUUCGAAGUAUUUGGACCAAUCCACAAAUGUAUCUAUUGCAAACUAUGAUUCUAUAAGAAUUAAGAAUAAAAAGUUAGAUGUUUUUCUAAUUAGAAGAAAAUAGAAUAAUAAAUAAUAAUAAAAUACAUUGUAAUUACCACUAUCUCCCAUGAAGAUCCAAGUGGAGUAAGAAAAAGACGAGUGAUAGAACGAUACCACACCAUAUAUGGGUGGUUAUACCCAUAAGAAGUAGACGUUGCCUCAGCUCUAGCAAGAUGAUCUUACAUAGCCUCCCACCUUUGAAUAUAGUAGUGAUGAAUACUCAUCCAAUCUAAAUAUGUCAACCCCUCAAAUCAUAUUUAUGUAAUCUUAACUCUAUAUCGCACUGCUCGAGAAUAUGCUGUAAUAGCCUAAACUGCCUCAAAACACGAUCAGGUCUAUACCACUCCACUAUGUAGAAACAAAUAAGAGGUGAAAUAGUCAACCACAAGUCAGAGGCAAUAGUAUAAUAAUCUAGGAGUCCAAAGAUGACAUCAUCAGUAUAGGGCUCCCAUAUAAUCUGCAAUUAAAUUUUAAAUAUGACUCACAUUAUUUAAUAAUAUUUUGAUUACAAAUUGUUUAAAAAAAUUAUUCAAAAUAAUGAAUUUCUCAUCUACUUUAGCAUAAGUCAAUCAAAUAGAUACCUAUAUUGGGGUAACAAAUGCAUAGGUGUCGAAGUAGUACAAAACUCAUCUUUCCAACUACAAAAAGAAUAUAUAUAUUAGAAGUUUGUAUAAUUGUUUAUUUAUGUAUAUAUGUGUUUACAUAUGCUAUAACUAAGGUUGAAUACAUACCGCAUGCCUAAAGGUGGUUGUGGCAAUAUUCCAUCAUGUAGGGUUGAAUGUAAGUGCAUAGGUGCUAUAAAGGCAAAUAUAUCCCAUAUCCAUAACUGUAACAAAAUGAGAGAACUCGAUACAUCAUGUACAUCAAUACGGGAUGCUCGACACAUAUCUCGAUAUAGUCAAGCUAAGCAAACACUACCCCAACUAUAAGUAUCAAUAACUCCAAAAUCCUCAAGUAGUGGUAACAACAUUAAAUGUAUCAUAUUAUUCGAUUUAUCUGUAAAAAGAAAACCUCCAAUCAACUAUAAAAUGAAUGCCCUAGUAUAGCAUCGCACGGACUCCACAUCAGCAUCAGGUGCCAAUGAAGGAAAAUGCUCUGGCAACCAAGUCAAAUAAAGCCUUUGUCCAAAUAUAUCUCUAUCUUCAGGCACCACUCCUAACAAUGUAGCAUACACCUUUCUCUAAUCCAAGCAUGUGCUACCGUUAACUACAACACCAUCAAUUAGUAAGCCUGAAAUAAUACUAACAUCCUGAAGUGUGAUGGUACACUUUCCCUGAGGUACAUGGAAAGUGUGAGGUUCAGGGUGCCAUUUCUCUAUAAAUGUUGUAAUAAGGUGUCAAUCCAAUGAAAUGAAACCUAAUCGGGCAACACCAUAGAAUCUAGAUUGUUGCAAAUAUGGAAUAAUGUGGGCAUCUAAAACACUAUUACAAUAUAAAUUGGCUUCACAACAUCGACAAUGUAGCUCUCCAUGAUCAUUUCCUUCCCAUGUAAGCGAAUAUCAGUGUACUUCUUGGUUAUACAAAACAAAACAAUCUACAGGUCCAAGAUCCAUGAGAAUGUAUUAUCUACAUCAUUUAAAUAAUUUCAUUAGUUUAUUACAAGACAUUCCAAUGACAUUAUAUGGAAAUAACUCAAUGUCUAUCUUUAAUGUUACAAAAAACUUUCAUUUAAAUAGUAAAAUUUUCAACUUAAACUUACAAUAUCAUUGAACGGUUGUGUUAGAAGACUCUCUUCUGUUAAGGCAUUUUCAAUUAUUAUGACCUUUCUGUUUACAAAGCCCACAUCGGACUUUGACACUUGGUUCUCUCCAAUCCAUUUUAUUCCUAAUCCUUGAAUAUCUUGGUAUUUCUUUAUCACAUACUAGAGUUGGAUUAGGAUGAACAAUUGAAAAAUUAGGUUCUAGCUAAUAGGCUUGAUGUGGAAUUGAAUUGAAUUAUGGUGUAUAGCAACAACCAUAUGCAUUCAUCCUAUAAUGUUUGUUGACAAAUUGUCAAUAAUCAAUCCUUGCAUGUGCACAUGCAGCUAGCACAUGUGAACAUGGGAUACCAAAUGAUUGUUAUUUAUUAUAAAUACAUUGUUAGCCCAAGGGUUUUCCUAAUCGGGUUUUGAUGAUAACAAACCAUGGUUAAGUGACUAAUUGGUUUAAUGUUUAAGAAUCUCAAGUAUAAACUCGAAAAUUCAUCAAAUGACCAAAUGACCAAAUGGAUACAAAAUCGAGACGCUUGGAAAACUUGUGAUCAUAGAAAACUAAUGUAAGAUGAAUACAUGAGUGCACUUAGGAUUCUCAUACGUUUCAUGCAUCUUAGAAAAUUUGGUUUAUUCUUUAAAACGUCGAUUUCAUUAAAACCUCGAUUUCAUUAAAACCCGAGUUUUUAACUAAUGUACCUUAGGCAAAAUGAUUUAUAAUUGGCUUAAUAAUUUACCUAAAGACCUUGCCUAAGUGUUAGAAAAGAAAAGAAUCAAAAAAUAGGUUUUCAGGGCCAAAAAAGGCUCAACCGAUCGAGGCUAUGGCCAAUCGAUCAACCGGUUGAGGAACCGGUCGACCGGUUGUGGUUGUCCAGUUGAGGACCGGUCAAGGGAGGUCAAAAAUCUUCUCUCUCUCCCAAUAGCCUUCUCUUCCCGAUCGAGGUGUUUCUCUUACCGGUCGAGAUCCGAUCGAGGACCGGUCGAGGUCCGAUUGAAGCAACGAUAACCUGUCAUGCAUUAAAUGCUCCAACAGCUAGUGAACCGAUCGAUCCCUAGCUCGACCGGACGAGGUUACCUUUUGCUGACUUUGACUCCUGAGCUUAGAAACCUAUAAAUUGAGAGCUUCACUUCAUUUAUUGAUAAGAGAACACUUGCAUUCAAAGCCUACCUACCUGUUCUUGAUCAAAAAGCUCUCAUUUCUUUCAUAGUGCAUUAAAUCACCACUUGCAUAUCCUUUAGUGCACUCUUGUUUGCCAUCCUAACCUUGUCUUGUAUUUGAGCCAUCUUUAAGCUAGGUUGAGUGAUUAUAUCUUGUAACAAUCUGAGUGUUAAAGCCUUCAAGAGGGUUGAAUCUUGAAGAGGUUGUGUAAAAGCCUAUUGGAGCUGAAAUCCAAGUGUAAGAAGAUUGGAAGCUUGGUUGAAGCUUCAAGUUAGUGAAACCCUCACUCGGUUAGGAGAUUGAAGAGAGUGGACGUAGGCAAGGAAGUACCGAACCACUAUAAACCCGAGUUUGAAUUCUCUAAACUCUAUAUCUUUACUUUGCUUAUAUUUUGUUUAAAUUUGUUGUGAUUGAAAAGAUUUUAAAAAACCCAAUUCACCCCCCCCCCCCCUUUUGGGUGUUUUUCUUAGCUAAGCAUAGCCUUUGUUUUCUCAUACAUGUUCUUUCUUUCAACUUCACAAUUUGUAUAUUGUUUUCUUUAUCCAUAUGAAACUCAUAGGAAGCGAUUAUCACUUCAAAUAUCUCAUUUGUUAUUUUGUUAAUGGCAUAGGAAGUAUACAAAUCUCCAUUUGCAAUUCGAGCUUGUAUUUCUAUUCGAUAAGUCUCGAAAUAUGAAAUACAACGAUAGAAAGUUAAUCAAAUAAAAGCAGUGAUAGGUAACAUUCUAGCCCUUUUAAGCACUUCAUUUAUGUAUUUAGCAAUAUUUUUAGUCAUCCACCCAUACCGAUGUCCUCCAUCAUGUGUCAAAGUCCAUUUCUUCGCAUCCAACCUGUUAAACCAUUCUAAGCAUUUUUCAUCUAAUUGUUUUAACUCAGUCAUACAUGACUCAUACUUUCGUGGUUGAUGUUGAGACCCAGCUCUAUACACUAAGUCUUUUAAUAUCUUAUUUCUAAAUUUAUCAUUGAAAUUGCUUACCACAUGCCUAAGACAAUAUCAAUGGUAUGCAUAAGGCAGGUUCCAUCCAACACUAGGAUCCCUAACAGUGGCUUGUAUUCCUGUAUAACGAUCAAAAAUGAGACAUAUGUCUUCUCUUUGCGUGACUUGACUCCUUAAUGUAUAAAGAAACUAAGACCAACUAUCUGACAAUUCCUCUUCAACUAUUGCAAAUGCAAGAGGGAAGAUAUGACCAUCAGUAUAGUUGCAAUAAAAAAUUUCCCUAUAUAUUUUCCAUAUAAAAAAGUAUCAUCUAUUUGUAUUACUGAUCUACAAUGCUUAAAUACUUCAAUGCAUGCCCUAAAAGCCCAAAACAUAUGCAUAAAACGUACAUUUCCAUUGCAACCUACUAGUAUUGAUGUCUUCCAAACAACCUUAGUCUCAAGGUUAGUAAGUUUAACAAUAUUCAUUCACCUAGGUAAAGUUUGGUAAGAUUCAUCUCAAUCACCAAAUAUCCUUAUGAUUGUUUUCCUCUUUACUUCCCAAAUCCUCUUGUAAUGAACAAUAUAACCAAAUUUAUCUUUCACUAUUUGAUGUAAUGCAACAAUUGAAAUUGUGUGAUCACUUUGGACUACAUUUUGAACUUCUUGUGCAAUCAAUGUGGAAUCUAAUUGUGAGUGGUCUUGUGAUAGUUUAAGGUAAACACAAGUGUGAGGACCUGUGUACUUUGUUAUCUCAAACAAACCAUGAAAUUUAUAACGACAUGCACGAAACCUCCAAUUACAACCCUCAGACCACUUUUUGCAAUUUACGGCCCACAUAUCUAGCUCAGAUUCAAUAACAAUCAAAUAUUGAUUCCUACAUAUAGAAUAACGUUUAACAGUAUAUUGUAAGUCUACCUUACUCUCAAACCGCAAACCCUUAAACAAUUCAUUUGAUUCAUUCCAUAAUCUAGUGCAUGUUGCCAAAUCCUUGUCGACCAUGGAGUUAAUUACAUCCCAAUUCAAUUCUCUAAAUAUUGGGGAAGGGACAUCAUGUUCACCACCACCUAGCAAUGAUGCAUCAUUUUCUGUAUUUUCAUUAUCCUCCAUGUCCAUAAUAUCCUCAUUACCAUCAUCUUCAUCAAAUAACUCCACAUUGUCAUCAUCAUUUUAAGGUAAAAUAUCAACAUAAUUUUCAACUGCCAUUACAAUUGAAUCAGUGAUCCCUGCCAAAUCUACCAUAACUAUAGGUUUCAUGUCAUUAUCAUAACUUUGCAUAUACAUAAGGGAAGAUGUGUUCUCUUCUACCAUUUGUUGACUUGGACCUACAUCUUCAAUACGCAUUGGGGUAGUAAAGUUACUUGACAUAGAGUAAUUAUCAAUUGAAAAAGUUUGAUAAUACAUUUCAAUAGUAUUUGGAGGAGGAUAUUGUGCGACAACAGUAAACAUUAUGCUCACAUCACCAUCAUCUCAAAUAGGCAAAAAGACAUAAUUAAGAGUAUUCCUUCAAUUUGGAAAGGAAACUAGAUAUUAAAACACCAUAUUUAACUUGGUGUAAGUACGAUUAAUAUUCAGAGCAUGACACAAUUUUUUUUUUAACUCAUUAAAUGUUAUCAUACUAUUUAAAUAUGUAAAUUUAUAUAUUAUAUACAUUUAAAUAUACUUUUACUAUUUAACAUUUUAAAUAUACAUUUACAUAUUAUGUAUAUUUAAUACUCACAAUUACUAAUUUAUAUUACACACAAUUACUUUUUUUUUUAUAUUAUAUACAUUUAAAUAUUUAUUUUAAUAAAUCAAAUAACAUUUUAGUUUUAUUUAUACUUUUAUUUUUAUUUUUAUUUUUACAUCUCAUUGUUUUACAAUAAUUUUUUCAAUGAUUUAAGACUAACAUUAAUUUUAAAAAAUAUAUACGAUAAAUUAAUAAUUUCGGAUAAUGUUGUAUUUCUAUAGAUUUUAAUAUUUUUUAAAUCAUAUUUUAUGCAAAUAUAUAGAUAUAUGAUUAUUCUAUUAUUAUUAUUUUCUAUUCUCAUUUUACUAUUAUUUUAUUUUAUUUUUAAUUUUUAAUUUUAAUAUUUUAUAAAACAUAUUAUUUGAUUGAUAAAUAUAAGCAAUAAUCCAAUUAGUUCAUAUUAAUUAAAUAAACUAAUAUCACUUUUAUUUUUUGAAUGACUUAAUCUAUUCAUCUCUAUAUAAUAAUAAUUUACAAUAAAUAAUAUUCUAAAAAAAUUAGCAUAAAUCCAAUAAAUUAAUAUAUAUAUAUAUAUAUAUAACAAUAAAUAUCUAUCAUGCAUUAUAAAAUAAAUAUGAAACAAAGGCAAAAAUAUUACCUAGGAAUAAAAUAACAUAACUUUUAUUUUUUUUAAUGAUUUAAUCUAUUUAAAAUAAUAAUUUCGAAUAAAUAUUAUUCAAACAAAUAUUACAUAAUUCAAAUAAAUUUAAAAACUUAUAUAAUAAUAAAAACCAUACAUUACAAAAUAACUUGAAAUAAAAAUAAAGCCAAAAUAUUAUCUUUCAAGAUAACCAGUGUGAGUGUCCGAAGAAAAGAGAUGAAAUAUGCGAAGAAGUUCCCAGAGAGCAAUGAGAUGGAAAGUGAAAAAUUGGAUAGUAAAAAAUUGAGUUUCAAAUGGGGAAAAAUGAGAAAAUGAAGAUGAAGAGAUUUGAAGCCGAUUUAUAUUGUAAGUGAAAUUGAGAAAAAGUAUGAUAAGUGUAGUGUGUAGGAUAAAAGGUGAACGUUUGAAUGUUUCAGAAGAAAUGACAAUACUUGAAAUUGUCAAAUUGCUGGAGUGUUUAAACAUUUCAGAAGAAAUGACAACACCUUAAACGGUAUACAAAUUGGUUGAGUGUUCCAAUAGAAUUGUAAUGUAAUAGUGUGUGAAGUGGAGUGUAAUAUGUGAUGUCCCACAUCGGAUAGGGGAGGAAGUUCCUGGCGCUAUAUAUGUAGAGGCUCCUCUUAACCAAGUAGACGUGUUUUAAAGCCGUGAGGGCCCUCUUGGGCCCAAAGCGGAUAAUAUCUACAUGGUUGGGUACGGGUCGUUACAAAUGGUAUCAGAGCCGAUCCCCGACCCCGGUGUGGGGGUUUGUUUGGCUUUGUCUGUUUGGCCCUGCAAUCCCAUGGGACACAACGAGGACGUUGUGUCUGCAUGGGGGGGUAUUUGUGAUGUCCCACAUCGGAUAGGGGAGGAAGUUCCUGGCGCUAUAUAUGUAGAGGCUCCUCUUAACCAAGUAGACGCGUUUUAAAGCCGUGAGGGCCCUCUUGGGCCCAAAGCGGACAAUAUCUACAUGGUUGGGUGCGGGUCGUUACAUAAUAAGUAAGAUUCUCCUAUGGACUAUGGGUGUAGUACAUUGUUGGACUUGGGGAAAUGAUAUAAUGUGUGUAAUGGAGGCUUUGUGGUAAGUUAAAUUCUCUUAAAAAGAUGUGAAAUUAUUCAUUUUACAAUCAAAUUUUAACUUAAAGAUUAAUAUUUUUAAUCUUAAAAUUUAUAGAAUAAAAUUAAUUUAAAAAUUAAAACAAAACAAAAUUAUGUAUCUUAUAAAUAAUUAUUUAAUAAAUUAAUAACAAUUUUUUUAAAACUCAUUUUUCACAUAAAUUGAUAAUAGUUUUUUUUUAAUUCCAAAGUAAGAGAGAAAAAAAUAAUAGACAAAUAUUAUUUAUCUUAUAUUAAAUUUAGCAUGUUAUUUAUAUAUUAAAUUUAAUAAAUAAAAUUAAUUAUCUUAUAAUAUAUAUUUAUAAUAAUUGUAUUAUUGUAUAAGUGGAAUAAAGAAUGGGAAAAUUGACUUUUUGAAGGUUUUUUUUUUUUUUUUGAAAAUCAUAUCUUCAAGAGACGAUUUCUCACUUCUUUUUUUUUUUUUUAAAAUCGUCUCUUUAAGAGACAAUUUCUCAUAUAAAAAAUGGAAUUUUAGAAAUCGUGUUUUGCAAAGAUGAUUUUUUUUAUAAUUUUUUUAAAAGUUCAUAAAUCAUCUUUUGAAGAGAUGAUUUUUCACUUACAAUUUAUUUUCUCUUUCCUAUCUGAACAAAAUUACAAUAGAUUGGAAUUAUUUUUUAAAACUGUCAUACUCUUAUCAAAAAUUCGCUCCUCUUUCCUAACUCUUCACCCUUAUGGAAACUCAUAUUUUUUAUAAAAGUACGACAGUUUAAAAAAAUAAUUCCUAAACUACCGUUAUGGAAAAAAUAAUUUCAAAUUUAUCAUAGUGUUUUCCAAGUAGGAGAGAGAAUGUUAUUUCAUUUUAAAAUCAUCUCUUUGAAAAACGAUUUAUAUAUCAAAAAAAUCGUCUUUUGAAUAUACGAUUUCUAAAAUUCAUUUUUAAAAAAAUUUACAUACUAAAAUCGUCUCUUCAAGAGACCAUUGGGAGAAGUUGGCUCUUGAAGAAACGAUUUCCUCCAUGUUUGGGAGAAAUCAUCUCUUCAAUAAACGAUUUUCUCCCAAAAAAAAAAUCUAAUUUUCUAUUCCCUACAAUUUUUUAAAUUAAUGAUAUAUUUUUUAAUAAUAUAAUUAUUAUAAAUAUAUAUUAUAAAAUUAAUUAAUUUUAUUUACUAAAUUUAAUAUAUAAAAAAAUUAUGAUUAUUGAGAUAUUUAUCAACAAUAAUAUUUAUAAAAAUAUAAAUUAUGUUUAAUAUUUAGAUAUAGAUUUUUUUGAUUAUUUCUUUGUUGAUGGUUCAUAUGAACAAGAUUAUUAGUUUUUUGAACUCAUGAUAAUAAUUGUGUAGACCCCGUUUGGGAUUCAUUAUACCUCAUUUUUCCUACAGCUCAUCUUUGCAGGUGGAAGGCUCUCAAGGUGCCACAUGCUGUCUCCUGAUUGAUUGGUAAGGAAUCACAAUAGUGCUUUUGAAGAAGCAACCAAAAGGCGACACCUGGCAAGGAAUCUGCAGGAGCGUAUUCUUUCUGUUAUGGAGAGGGCCAGUUGCCAGAAGUGGAGGACCUAUUUUCUUCAAGCUAGCUACAUGAAACAUGUGUCGGAGCAGCUGACCGUGGCCAUGGCGUUAGUUGGGAUGGUGACCAGCUGAGUAAGGAAUAGGAGAGCAGUUGGGAAAGAGAAAAGAAGAAGGAGAAGAAAAAAAAGAGGAGAGGAGAGUUCGAGGGGGGAGCCUUUGGGGGAAAAGGGGUCCUGAUCUGGGCAUUUUCCAGAAGGGUCAUAAAAACAGGGGCUCGAAGUCAAGUGAGCUUCGAUCUGCGAGGAAGCUUUUCAGGUAUGGACCCUAUUCAUUACCUUCUCUAUUUUGUUUUUGGAUAUCGAUAAGACUCUAUUUUGGUGUUUGGAUGCGAGCAUUGGAGAUUUUAUUAUGUUCUUAUGGAAUCUGAGUUCGUUUGCCUCCAUGUUGUGCUUGAUUUCUAACUUGGCUUUCAACUUGUUUACACCGACUAUUUUAAACUGCUCUCCUCUGUUUCUUGAUUGUUUGCGGGUUAUCCUCGAUGCCUGGAGUAUACUUACUCAUUCUCUCUGUUCUGGAAAAUUUUGAGAAAAGAUUCAUCACAUGCUUUUGAUUUGUGGGGUCGUGCCUGCAUUUUUUUUUUUUUUUUUUUUAUCAUUCCACCCGAGGAAGAAUUAUGUUCGGCCGACGUUCCACCUUCUCCGGAUAUCUCACAUCCGGAAUUCAGUCCGGCCGACGUUCCACCUUCUCCGGAUAUUUCACAUCCGUCGGAAUUCAGUCCGGCCGACGUUCCACCUUCUCCGGAUAUUUCACAUCCGGCGCCUGACGCCGGAUGGGAGAGGAGGAUGAUUAAACUUCCCCGGUCAGACAUGUCCGGAUCCUCUGAUAGCGCUUACCCGGAGAGCAUCCACAGCCGACAAUUCAGAUUCCCCGGACAGCUUGGCUCGUCAAACACUCGUGAUUCACUGGAUCCUUUUCCGCCCACAAUAAAAAAGCAAACUCCGAUAAUACUGACGACCAAGUCUCCUGAACUGUCACUCAUCUUUAAUGCAAGAUAGAUUGGGCUUUGGUGGGGGCCCCACAUACAUGAUCUUAUGAUCAAUUGAUUGACUUGGUUAUUAUACAUGAUUUAUUUAUCCUGCUCUCUGACAUGCAUGCUAUUAUUCCUUAAUUGUGCACUAACCCUCUCUCUUGAUAGUGCAUGGUGGCUUAUUGCCGAGGUACGUACCUACUUUCCAUCUGAUCAUUGUUUAUGCAUAUUCAAACUCUCAUAUGUGCAUGAUCACUUUGGGUAUUCAUUGAUUUACUCAUCAAUUGUCAUGAUUGCUUCACUUUAUUAGUAGAGACCCGACUCUAGGGGCUUAGAGGGGUGCUACGGUUUUUGUCGUACCUUCCCAAUAAGUAACCUGACCCUCGAACCCGAUCCGAUUUUUCACAGACCACCUUUUCCAAAACAAUGAGUCACACUUAGGGUUUUUCUUUCUUAUUUUGUUUACCCUUUAAAAAUAAAACAAAAAUAAGUGGCGACUCCAAGUCAUUCUUUUAAUAAAUAAAAAUCAAUUUUUCGAAAUAAAAAUCGAAACGCAUUGAACCGAAAUGCGGGGUCCACAAAUUGAUUUUUUUUUUUUUAUCAUGGUUGGUACUUUAUUAAUUGUUGGGAUAUUUGUUGGUUUUAGUAUUUACAUGAACAAUAUUAUUGGUUUUCUUAUAAUCACGAUAGUAGGUGACUUAGAUUCUUUAAUAUUAAAAAUAUUUGAUAUUAAGGAUUGACUUGGUGUUUAUAUUUAUGAUAUUGUGUAUUUGAAUUUUCAGGCUUUUAUUUGGAUAUAUAGUUUUUGAAAAAAUGAUUUCUUAAUUUUUAUUUAUUCUUUUUUAUUUGAUCGAUUUUCUUGAAACCUAUAACAUUAAAACUUGAAAACAAAUAAAAAAUUUUAUAUAACAAAAUAUUUCCUCGAUUUUUUCUUAAUAAAAAAUAGUUAAUCAUUUCUAAUUUUAAGUGUAUUAAAUUAUUUUAAAAGAAAUAUUUUAUUAUAUUUUCAAAUUACUUUAGUUGCUUAUCAUUUAUAAUUACUAAAUAAAAUAUUUUAAUAUACAAAUGAUUAUUAUUUCUUUUAAAAUUGAUUAAUACUUAAAAAAUUAUAUCUCUUAAUGCUGAAAAUUUUAUUGAAAAUUAAUUUAUUGAAUAAUAAAUUAUUUUAUUUUUCUAUAUUUUAUUCAUUUUAUAGUUAAAUUUUAAAUUAAAGAUUAAUAUUUUAAAUUUUAAAUUUUAUAUAAUAAAAUUACUCUAAAAAUUAAAAAAAAAAACAAAAUUAUUUAUUUUGUAAAUAAUUAUUUGAUAAAUUAAUAACAAAUUUGUUUUUUAUAAACGCAUUUUUCACAUAAAAUUGAUAAUAAAUUUUUAAUUACAAAGCAAAAGAAACAAAAAAAAACAUUGGAUAAAUAUUAUUUAUCUUAUAAAUAAAAAACAAUAUCAAAGUAAAAUAAUUUUAUUAGUUAUAAUUAAUUGAAUUAAUUUAAAUAAAAAAAUUGAAGAUUAAAAAGAAUUUUUAAAUCAAUAUCUAAAUAUUAAACAUAAUUUAUAUUUUUAUAAAUAUUAUUAUUGAUAAAUAUAUCAAUAAUCAUAAUUUUUUAUAUAUUAAACAAUUUUUGCUUUUAAAGGAGAAAAUCGUCUCUUGAAGAGACAAUUUCUCCCAACUUUUUUUUUUCUUUUUUUAAGAAAAUUUUCUUAUUUAAAAAAUAAUUGGAGAUGAUUUUUUUUUUCUUUUUUAAGAAAUUGAUCUCUUCAAAAGACGAUUUUAGUGUGCAAAUUUUUUAAAAUAUGAAUUUUAAAAAUUAUAUCUUUAAAAGACCAUUUCUUUGGUAUAUAAAUCGUAGACAAUUUUAAAAGGAAAUAACGUUCUCUUUUUUAUAUGAUAAAAAUUACAAUAAAUUUGAAAUUAUUUUUUUCAUAAUGGUAAUUUAAGAAUUAUUUUUUAAAACUGCAUUACUCUCGUAGAAAAUCCUUGGAAACCCCACGGUUUGUUUUUUAUCAUGACCCUUGUGCGUACCAUAUAAACGCAUUUAAAACAUGGGAAAUACCAAUUUUCAUCAACCCAAUAAUUCAGUAUGUGGAGCAGAUCUCAAAAGACAAGGCCUUAAUUUUAAAACAUAUAAACGCUUAAAUUUUCCAUACAAGACAAAACGUGACGUGUCAGACAUAUUAAAUUAUAAGUGAGAUAGGUGGCACAUCACAUCCCAUAUAUAUAAACAAUUUCUUUCAUAUCACUCCACUGACCAUAUUACCCCAAGUCGAUUUAUGUAUACUAAUAUAAUCCUUUUUUUAUUUUAUUUUUUUAUUUUACCCCUGUGACUUUUCUAGAAAUCAGCGGAUUUUGAAUUUUAACACAUAUUUAAAGGUAUUUUCAAAUUUACCAUAUCUUUUAAAAAUUUAAUUAAAAUCUGUUUUUCAAAGAGACCAUUUCUAUUAAAUUUCAAAAUUAUCUUUAAAAAAUAAUUUCCGUAUUUAAACUGAUGUUUUCAUUGAUAUUUUAAAAAGUAUGGAAUGUUAAAAAAUAAUUUAAAUAAAAUAUAAAAUAUGAUAAUUCUAAAGAUUAUUUAAUAUUGUUCUAAAAUCUUGGAAAUAUUAGGAUAAGACUAGAAAUAUGUUCAACCUUCUUUGGCAACUAAUUUUUAAAAUGGUUCUAAAAAAAUAAUUUUUAAGAAUAAAUUUUUAAAACUGUUUUUUUUAUAUUUUAUAGAACAAAAGUCUAUUUAAAAAUUUAAAAUAUUUUUAAAAUAUUUUUAAUAUUUGUAAAUAUGUUUUAAAAAUAAUUUUAUAUUAGGAAUUUUAUUUUUAAUCAUUCCUUUUUAUAAUUAUUUUUUAAAAUAACUUUAAAAAAUAAAUUAAAAUAACUGAAAACAACUAAAAUAUGUUAUCUGAAAACACCUAUUUUCUAUUUUUAAAAACAUAAAACAAAAAAUAGUUUUUUAAUUGUUACACAUGUUUUUUUUGUUUUUUUUUUUUAUUUUGAAAACAAAAAGCUAUUCUAGAAAAUAAUUUUCAAAUAGACCUUUGGUCACUUCCUUGUCUUCAUUUUGACUCUCUUAAUGCUCAGAAAAUUAAAAAUGUAUUUAUCGAUUUUUUAUUAAUUUCAAAUACAAGUUGACAAGCCGUAUUUUCAAAAUAAAACUUCACUAUAAAAUAAAAAAUCGUAUUUUUAAAAUAUAAUUUCAACCUAAGUCAAAAAAGAACUUAUACGCCUAGAUGACAUUAAAAGGAGUUAUAAUUUGAAAAUAAAUUUGAAGAAAUCUUCGUUUCAAUUAUGGAAUCAGCCACUUGGUUUGUUGAAUGGAAUUAUGGAACUCAACUUCUGAAUCAAUCAGGCGGCUGAUGACUUCACGUUUCAAUUAUUAGGCCUGGAAUUCCUCCAAGAAGACGCAUGCUUCGUUUGAAUAUACUGAAGUGUCUUCCAUAUUAUAAAUUUUUUUUUCAUGAAAAAUGUUAAAUUACCUUAAUGAUGCUUGAUAUUGAAAAAUAAAAGCAACCCAGAUAUAAGGAUAUAAACGAAUAGAAUUAAGAUGUAAACAAUGAAACCCGAGAAAAAAUACAUGACAUUAUCUGAUUAAUGAUAAUUUUUCAAUAGGUAUCGAAAACAUGCCUUUUUUUGUUGCUCAAAUUGGUGAUUUAGAAAAUAUUUAUAAUUUUUUGUUACUAUUUUGUUUACUUAGAUUUAAUGAUUUGUAUUUGUCUCAUUAAAUAUGGUAACACUUAUAAUUUAUAAGAUUAAAAAUGAUAAUAAUAAGAAUUUAAUGACUUUAAUUGGAUCACAAAUUUAAUAUUUUAGUUUUUAAAAUUAGUUUAUAUUAUUUAAGAAAUUUAUGAGAGACCUAUAAGUGAUAAUUUCUUAUAUGAUAUGUGAGUACAAUUUGGAAACAAUAUAAAAUGUAUGAAUAUAAGUUAAGGUUAAUCAUGUGAGUAUCUUAUUUGUGUCCAUUUACUCAAUGGAACAAGAUUGUAUUCAAAUUAAAGUUUUUGACCUUAAAUUAUUAUAUCAUGUCGAUAUUAUUAUUACUUGUCCGUUUAUUUAUGAAUUUAUUUACAUAGUCAUAGAUUUAUUUUUUAUUUUUUUAAUAAGGUGUAACAUACAACACUUUGAAUUUUGGUUAAUUUGUAUUAGUGUCGUACUACUUAAUAAAGAUUGAUGUAAUUCUGCCCCAUGGGCCUCAACCACCUUGGAUUUUAUUGCUUAUUUUAUUUUCUUUUUAAAAAAAUAUAUAAUCAAGUGAGGGAGACAAAAAAUUAUAAGUGGGAUAGGAGUCAUCAGGGUAAUUGUCAUUAAUAUUAUAAAAAUAAUAUUGAAUAUUAAAAAAUAAUAUAAAUAAAAUAUAAAAUAUAAUAAUUUUUAAAAUUAUUGUAUUAUUUUUCUAAAAUCUUAGGAAUCUUAGGAUAAUGCCAGAAAUCUUUUGUCACCGCCUUGUCUACAGUAAGACUGUCUUAGUGCAUGCUCAGAAAAUUCAAAAUGUAAUUAUCAUGCUGGUCAACGUCGCAAUGAUCGUGAAGAUAUUUGAGUACGAAAGUAUCAAGGAAAUGAUCAAAUUUAUACAUGAGUUUUUCAUUUAUGGGAGAGUGGGUGGUGGAAGGUAGUGAGAGAAGUGGGUUAGUGGGUAGUGAGAAAAAUUAUUAUACUAUUUUUCUAAAAUCUUAGGAUAAGGCCAGAAAUCUCUUCGUCACUGCCUUGUCUUCAGUAAGACUCUUAAUGAAAAAUACAUUUUUCUAAAAUAUAGCAUUUUUUUCAUGAAAAAUGCUAAAUUAAUGCUUGGUAUUGAAAAUUAAAUAGAUUUUUGAACAAUGAUAUGAACAAAUGGAACUAAGAUAAAACAAAUAAAAUUAGGGUAUAAUAAAUAAGACCUAAAAAAAAUACAUGACACUGUCCGAUUGAUGAUAAUUUUUCUUUUUUUAUUAUUUAAAUAUUUCUUUGCUAUUUUGUUUACUUAGAUUUAAUGAUUCACGUUUAUGUCUCAUUAAAUACGGUGACAAUAAUGGUUUAUAAGACUAAAAAUGAUAAGAAUAAGACUUUAAUGACUUUAAUUGGAUCACAAAUUUGAUAUUUUAAUUUUCAAAAUUAGUUUAUGUUGUCUAAAAAAUUUACUAGAGACCUACCAUAGGUCAUUUCUAGUAUGAUUUGAGAGUAAGACUUGAAAACAAUAUAAAUUUUAUGAAUAUAACUUGAGGUUAAUUAUGAGAAUAUCGUAUUCGCGUCCAUUUAUUCAAUAAGUAAUGAUGGUGUUCAAAUCGAAGUCUUCAACUUUAGAUUAUUAUAUCAUAUUAAUACUAUUAUUUCCCGUCCAUUAAGUUAAACGUUUAUCGGUGGUAUUAUUUUCAAAUUGAAAUUUUCAACCUUAAAUUAUCAUCUCAUGUUGAUAUUAUUAUGAUUGGACUCCUAUAUGAUGACUUUAUUGACAUAGUUAUAGAUUUAUUUAUUUAUUUAAUAAGGUUCAUGCAUUUAAACAAAAUACAACACUUCAAAUAAUCAAUUUUAAUAAUAUAAAAAAUUAACCAAAAUUCAAAACUUCCAUCCAAAUCCAUUUUAUAUAAUAAUAAGUUGAAAUUUCAAAAAUGCCCUUCAACUAAAAGUUUUUGAAAUUCAAAACAUUUUAAACACUUCACUUUUUUGUAAUGACAUUUAAGGUGUGUGCCCACUUGUCUAAAAGUAUAAGAAAAUGAUAAGAAUGUUUUGUAUUUCUUAUAAUAAAUUAAUUUAAAAAAGUUAUAUGAUUUUUCUAUAUUUUUUUUUUCUUUGCAUAGUGUUUUUUUCUUAAUUUUUAUAUAUGAUUUUUCUUUUUUUAUUUUCAAUGCAUUGAGUGGAUGAGUAGUAUAUGAUAUGUUGGAUAUCAAUGAGGUAUAAAAAAGCAUCUCUAAUACUCUUACUUCUAUUAUAAAAUAAAAGUAUAACAAAAAUAUGUUAUAAUUAUAAUAUAAAUAUAUUUAUAGUACAAUACAUUAUAAUAAAACCUAAUUGAGAAAAUUUUAAACUUUUUUUUAUAAAAAUGAUAGUUUUAUAUGAUUAUAUUAUAUUUCAUAAUACACUUAUUCCGCGAAUCAUUUUUGAAAUCAAAUGAAGUACUAAUUUGAAUUUAUGAGACUUACAUAUAUAUUUAUAUAAUUAAACAAUUUUAUUACAUUGAGUGAAUAAUGUUAAUAUAUUGAUAUGAUGUAUUAAUAUCAAUGCCAAUAGGAUAUAAAUAGGCAUUUCUAGAAUUAUUAUUUUGGGAGAAUUAUGUUUUGGGGGUAGAUGGGCCCCAAAUUAACAAAAGGUCCAUAUAACCCUUCAAAUUGAGUUGAAGGAUAUGAAAUAGUAAUGGAUAAAUAUACCCUUUAAGAACAUAUAUAAAAUAUUUUAUAAAAUUAAGUUAAAUAAUUUUUUUUUCAAAAAUACUAAAUUAAAUAAAAGUAGUUUUCAAAAAUAUUAAAUUAAAUAUUUUUUUAAAUAUUAAAUUAAAUUAAUUUUUUUUCAAAAAUAUUAAAUUAAAUUUUUUUUUCAAAAAUAUUACAUUAAAUUAAAGUAUUAAAAAAAAUAUUAAAUUAAAUAAAUUUAUUUUUAAAAAAUAUUAAAUUAAAUAAAUUUAUUUUAAAAAAUAUUAAAUUAAAUAAAAUUAUUUUAAAAAAUAUUAAAUUACAUAAAAAUAUUUUUUAAAAAUAUUAAAUUAAAUAAAAGUAUUUUUCAAAAAAUAUUAAUUUUUUUCUCAAAAUCAAUAAAGGGCAUGUUUGGAAAUACUGAAGGAUGAUAUCCUUCAACUCAAUUUCUAUACUUUCAUUGGGUCUUGGACUCAAUUUGAAGAGUUACAUGGACCUUUUGUUAAUUUGGGGGUCCAUCUACCCCCUAAACAUAAUUCUCCCUAUUAUUUUUAUCAUAAAAUAUAAGUACAACAUACAUAUAUUAUACUUAUAAUACAAAUAUUACACUAACAUUACAACACAUUACAAUAUCAUUUAGUUUAUUUUUAUAUUAUAUUUCAUAAUAUACUUAUUCGAAUCAUUUUUGAAACCAAAUGAAGUACUAAUUUGAAUUUAUGAGACUUACAUAUAUAUAUUUAUAUAAUUAAAUAAUUUUACUACAUUGAGUGAAUAAUGUUAAUAUAUUGAUAUGAUGUAUUAAUACCAAUGCCAAUAGGAUAUAAAUAGGCAUUUCUAGAAUUAUCAUUUUUGUCAUAAAAUAUAAGUACAACAUAAAUAUAUUAUACUUAUAAUACAAAUAUUACACUAACAUUACAACACAUUACAAUAUCAUUUAGUUUUUUUUUUUUUUAAAUUUCAUUACAAUAUAAUUUAUUUUAAUUUUUAAAAUUUUUUCACGUUUCAUAUUAUCAAAUGAAUAGUUGUGUUAUUCAAUUGAAUAUUUGUAUAUUAUUUAGUUGAUAACUACUCGUGAAAAUAAUUGUUUAUCCUAUUAGCUAAUAAUAUUUUUAACGGUAUGUUAUAUAUAUAUGAUCACAUGAUAACAUUAGGAUUUGGUUUCUAUUUAAAAGAUAUUGAAAAUUAAUUCUUUUUAUCUACUUUUCUAAAAAUUUCUCAAAUUUUUUUUGUCACUUUUCCAAUUUUUUUUCAACCCCACUUAAUCAAAGAAGUAACCAAAACAAAUGAUAAAUUUAUUAAAUAUACUUAGAUUGAUGUGAUAAUACAAAAUAAUUUAUGAUGCUAAUACAAAGUAAUAAAUUACAUUAAUAAUACACAAUUAAUUAAACUAUCUUCACGUAAAUUCUAGCAUUCAAUUGGACUUAUCAUUUACAAGUUCUAAAUAAUAAAAUUAUCUUUAUGUUUGACUUUUCUUACUAAAACUUUGUUAAAUAGUAAGUUGAUAAUUUAAAAGAGAAAAAUAAUUUUUUGGAAAACAAGAUAUGCACUAUUUAUAUAUAUAAAAUAAAAAUAAAAAUCAUAUUUAAAAGGUAAAAUUGUCUUAUAAUAAAUUUUGUCAUUCAUAGGAAUUAUUAAGAUAAGUGACUUUUUCCAAUCAUUAUCAUUCCCAACCAACUUUUUUUUUUUUUUUAUAAUUUUCCUUUUGAGGCAAAGUUAUGGGUUUGAACCACUUAGAAUUUUAUUGCUUAUUUUAUUUUCCUUUAAACAAACAUAUAAAAUAAUUAGUCUAAGUAAGAGAAAAAAAAAUCAUUUUUCUAUUUUUAAAAACUGAAUAAUUAUUUAUUUUCCAAUAAAUAAAAAUAAUUGAUUAAUUCUUUUCUUAACAGAAGAUAAUUGUUGAAAAAAAAAUUAAACAUUUAUAUCCAUUGGACUCGUACAUUUUUAUUUAUAUAUUUAUUUAUAAUUAUAUUAUAUAUUAUUUUAUUUUAAAUUUAAGAAUCAUCAUAUUUAUUUAUAUGUUAAAAUAUCAUUGGUGGUUGAAAUUUGAGUUUAUUAUUUCAUUUAUAGCUUAUUUUUUAUGGACUUCUAAAAUGAUUAUUUUGUUUUCAAAUCCAAUCGCAAGUUGGAUUUGAUCAUGCGGAUUGAAUAUAUCGAUAGAAACCUCUGUCCUUUGAAAGCCCACUUAACCCUCUACGUGUUAGAGAAAUAUCUUUUGGGCCCAUUGGUGGGCUGCCCAACUUCUUUCAAGACAAAUAUUUGGGCCCAUCGGUACACAUGGGUCAUCGUUGGAUAAACCUCAUUAAGGUCGUUCCUUUGGGCCUAAAUCCGAAACGGAGAAACCUGGAUAAAAACGGCCCACCGUAAUCCAUUUAGGCAAAACCUUUGCCAAACAGGGCCUAAGUAGGCUUGGGCUACCUUAGAGCUCUCCCGCUGAAUGAUUUUUAGGCUGUUAGAUGACUAUGACCUGAAUAACCCAAUUAAAAUGGCAUAAAAUUUUAGGUUUAGGGGUCAAUAUUUGAAUAAUAAAAUUUUAAAUGAAAUAAAUAUUAAUAUAUUUUCACAUUCUAAAAGGCUUGCAUGCUUUUUAAUAUGGAUAGGGUUAACUGAAACCAUGUAAUUUGAGUAAAUGUUAUAAAUUUUUUUAAAAGAAAAUAAAUCUGUUUGAUAACUAUUUUUAGAAAUAGCUUGGAAAAACAAUUUUGAAAACAGCUUUUAAAAACCAUUUUCUAAUAUUUUGUAAAACAAAUUUAAAAACCUAAAAUAUUUUUAACAUAUUUUUAAUAUUUUUAAAUAUAUUUUAAACAUAAAUUUUAUGUAUAAUGUUUUAUUUUUAAUCAUUUUACAUGUUUAUUUAAUUAUUUAAAAAAAAAUCCUUAGAAAACAACUAGAAAUUAUUAUCUAAUAACAACCUAUUUUUUGUUUUAAGAAUAAAAAGCAAAAAAUAGUUUUUGAUUGUUAAACAUUUUUUUUUCUUUAUUCUAAAAAUAGAAAAUUGUUUUUGAAAACAAUUACCAAAUAGCCCUAAACUUUCCAAAUUAAACAUGAGAUUAAAUGAAAAUUUCAAAUAAAAAAUAUAAAAAUUUGAGUGAUAAUAUCUUUUAAAUAUUUUCUAAAGUAAUUUUUAUAAGAAAAUGAAUUUGAUAAAGAAAAAAUAUAAAUAUAGAUAUAAAGGUUUAAAAAAAAUUAAGGUUGUACUGGGUUUGUUGGACUUUGUUGCAUCUCUAUUCUUAUACAAAAAAAUUUCAUUGAAUAUGAAAUCCCUACUUCUAAUCACUUUUUUAUUCUGGUCAUCCCAAAACUUAUAACCAAAAUAAUCAACACCAUAACCAAUGAAAGUAUAUUUUAGUGAUUUAACAUUAAGUUUGUUUCUGCCAUGAUCAUUAAUAUGUACAUAUAAGACACAACUAAAUACCCUCAAAUAAGAAAGCUUUACUUCUUUUUUAGUCCAUAGUACUUCUUCUGGUAUUCUGUGUUCCAAUGGUGUUGAUAGUCCCUGCUUUGGCAACCCUACCUGUAUACAUAUGCUUCUAGCUUCUCAAUCAAUGUCCUGUUCAUUUUUUUUGGUAUACCAUUAUAGUGGGAUGUCCCUAGCAUAGUCUUCUCCAAUUUAGUUCCAUUUUCAUAAUAGAACUUCUUGAACUCAAAGUCUUUAUACUCCCAACCAUUAUCAGACCACAACUUCUUAAUUCUCAUACUUGUCUCAUUCUCCACCAUUGCUUUCCAUCUCUUGAAUAUAUUAAACACUUCGAAUUUGUGUCUCAUAAAGUAUACCAACACUUUCCUCGAAUGAUCAUCAAUGAAGGUCACAAAAUAAGAUCUUCCUCUAAUAGCUGAAACUAAUGCGGGUCCCCAAACAUCUAUGUGAACUAACUCCAGUUUUGCUUCUUUUGGAGUUCUUCCAACUUUCUUGAAGUUAACUCUUCUUUGUUUCUCAAGUAUGCAGCUUUCACACAUGUCAAUGUCAACUGACUUCAAACUUGAUAGCUUCUUAUUCAAGUGCAUAAUUUCCAACCUUUUACUGCUCAUGUGACUAAGCCUCUAAUGUCAUAGAUUCAAAUCUUCUUUUCUCUCAACAAUUACAAUAGAUUCACAAACCAUCUAUUGUCAUGUAAAGAGUACUACUCUUCUCACCACGGGCAACAAUCAUUGCUCUCCUUAAGAUUUUCCACAUGUCACCUGCAAAAGUUGUCACAUAGCCAUCUUUCGCCAAUUGCUCAAUAGAAAUAAGAUUAUUUCUUAGGCUUGGAACAUGUCUCACACUAUCCAACUUCCAUAUAUACACAUUCAGUUUGAUCUGUACUUCACUUUUUCCAAUGAUAUCACAUGCUUAGUCAUCACCUAGAUAUACCUUUUCCAGAUUACCUGAGACAUAAUUCUCAAAUAAUUCUCUACUUAAGGUAGCAUGAAAUGAUGCCCCUGAAUCCAACAUCCACGAUUUUGUUUUGCUUUGCAAAAAGCAAAUGAAAGCAUCAUCCGAUUCUUCUAACAUAACAUAACAUUUGCAUUGGUCUUGUUGUCACCAUCCUUAUCCUUCUUGGUAACCUUGCACUCAUUCUUAUAGUGUCCAUUCUUUCCACAGUUCCAACAUUUCAUAUCUUUCUUACUCAUCUGAUGUUGAGAAUUUUUAGAAUUUUUGGAUUUUGGCAUGUCAUUCCUCGAUUUGGAUUUGUCACACUUAUUAUCUUUAUUUUGGUUUUUGUCUUUGCUCUUCAUGUUUAAUGUUGAUCUUGAAUUGGAAAAACUUUCUUCAUACUUCCUGAUUUCCUUGGUCAUAAUCAUGUCCAUUACUUCUGAAAACACCAAUUUCGAUUUUUCGGAUGAACUACUGAUUGAAGUGACUAUGUCUUUCCAACUCUCAAGCAAUUAACCAGGGAUUAAUAAGGCUUAAAUCUCAUCAUCAAAUUUAAUAUUAACUGAAUUUAAUGGAUCCAUGAUCUUAUUAAAUUCAUUCAAGUGUUGCUUGAAAUUCCUAUUCUCAGGCAUCUUCAAAUUAAACAACUUUUUAAUCAGGUAUACCUUAUUUGUUGUAGAGGGUUGUUCGUACAUGCUUGUUAAGGCAACCAUGAGAGACACUAUUGUGUUCUUGUUUUUUAUGUUGAAGGCAACCGAUUUCGAUAGGGUUAGCCUAAUUGUACCAAGAGCUUUGCGAUCUACCAAGUUCAAUUCAUUUUCAUCCAUCGAAUAUGACUUUUCUCCUAAUGGAAAAUAUAAAUCUUUUUGGUACUAUAAAUAAUCAUCUAUCUAUAUCUUCUAGAAACUGAAAUUCGUACCAUUGAAUUUCUUGGUUUUGUAUGAAUCCUUCUUUGAUCUCAUUACUUCUGCUACGGUGUUUGGUUAAACACGUCAAACCAAGGAUUUGCAAACCUAAGGCUCUAAUACUAGUUUAACCAAAUCAUGAACACAUAAAACACGAGGUUUUUAAUGUAGUUCAACAAUCAAUAUGAUCCUUAUAUACAUGAAGUACACCAACACUCAAGAAUCCACUAAUCAAAAUGAAUGAGAAGGAGUACAAUGGUGAAGCUCUCAAAAAACCUCUCAAUUGCGAUUGCACUCACUAAAAAACAAAACCCUAAAACAUAAAAAGGUUAAAAUAUGGAAUAUGGACAAACUUGUCAAUCAUCAUAUAAAAUAUAUAAUAGGAACUCAACCCCUACGAGCUGAUUGAGCAGUUUGACCCUCAACAUCCCAAGCAAAGCACACCAAAGUUGGUUCAAGCUUUACAAUCCAACAAAAAGUAUCUAAAUUUGAUUUUCCCUAUAAAUUAUCCUAGACCAUCAGAUUCCAUGAGAGACACCCAAAAUACUAUAAUAAGUUGUAACCAUUCUUGUGCUUUAAAUGGGCCAUGCAACCUAUAAUCUCACUCGGACCAUUAACAAAAAUCUGUAGCCCAGCCCAAUAAAGAUGAAAAAGUGAAAACACAGUCUGCUCCAUGAAUUCACGUGGGACACAUUCUUUGGCUGAAAUCAAACCACUAAUGGAAACCCAUGAAAUCUCUACAUUAGGUUUUGUCCCUAAUUCAACAAUAUCUUUUGGGCUGGCCCAUGGAUUGCCCCUUGGACUCGGCUACAAUUUAAACCUAAGUGAAGUACCACAGUUUCGAAGGACUUUUAUGAUCACUGCAAUUGUACAAGUGGAACCUGGAUCCAGAUGUGGAUCCCUAUGAAAAUUGGAAGCAAAAAUUAAAAAGUAAAAAAAAAAAAAAAAAAAGGCAUGUUAUCGGUAUUUUUAGUAAUUUUUUAUUUUUAUAUUAUUUAUUUUACAAAAUGUUUAUAAAAAAAAUUAAAUUUGUGAUUAAAAUAACUCAAAAAUACUUAUAAAUAUAUUGAAAAAUAAUAUUAACACAUGUAUUUUAUAUAUAUAUAAAAUUUUAUUUAUUUCAAAAAUUAAAUAUAAAUAUUACAUAACAUAUUUCAUUGUAUAUGUAUCUUGUCCUUUAAAUAUAACAUUCAAGAAUAUCAUAUCCAGUGAAAAUUAUAUCUUAAGAUAUAAGUUUCCUAUCCAAUGGGUUAUCAUAUCCUUACAUAUACAUAUAAUAUCUUAUCUUAUUUCGUCGACCAAACAUAACUUUAGUUAUUUUAAGGGUUUUCACUUUAUAAUUAUAUACAAAAAUUUAAGAUUUUUUUCUUGAUAUUUAGAGGUAAAUGCACCAAAAACUUCAAGGUUAGGUUUGAUUUCUAGAAAGUAUUAAGAAAAGAAUAAAAUACUAAGACAAUAUUUAGUUUUCAUAAAAUAUAAAAGAAAAUGUAAAAGAAAGAAAAUAAAGAGGAAAAGUAGAAGGAAAGAAAAUGCGAAAAAAAAUAUAAAAAUAAGUAUAAAGUUAAUAAAUUAUUUUUAUAUAUUACUUUAAUAUUAAGAUUAAAUAAUUAGAAAAUACAUAAGUUUCUAACUAAUUUUAAUUAUAUUUUAUUUAUUUUUAAUAUUUUUCAUAUUUCAACCAAUAUAUGCAUUUUUUUUCUUUUAUUAAUAUUUUUGAAGAACCAAAUAUAACCCACUGAAAACAAUUUUCUCAUGUUUAAUCCUUCUAUAAAAAUACGAAAAAAAAGUCAAUAUGAAUAAAAUUAGUUAAAAAUUUAUGUAUUUUCAAAUUAUUUAAUUGAGGUAAAAUACGUUAAAUAAGUUUAAAUUAUAUAAAAAUAAUUUAUUAAUUUUUUUUUCUUUUGUCUUUUCUUUAACUUUUUCUCCCUAUUUUAUUUUCUUUCAAAUUUCGAACAACUAAAUAUAGUUGAAAUAAAAGGGAGGAAGGGGUGUCUAAAUUAUAUGGGUCUUCUAAAUUGAAACAUACAUUCAAAUCUUAUUGGGACCCCAUUCCAUGCAUGCGAACAUUAAUGAAAUUAAAAAAACCAUAGCAUUUUGCUUCACUUUUAGGUCGGAUCGUUUUGAACUUCAUAAAAAAAUUAAAAACAAUAAACAAGGAAGCUUGGAGAUGGGUAGCUGAAUAAAUGAAUUUUGACAAAGAAUUCUUUUGAAUUUUGACAAAGAAUUCUUUUGAAUUUCUUUAAUUUAAAUAUAUUUCUCUGAUUUCACGUAUUAAUUAAAUUUCAUUAUUUGGUAACUAUUUUUUAAAAUAUUUUUUUGUUAUUCAGAACAAAAAAAGACAAAAAAAAAAAAAAACAAGUUAAUAAUAAUAAAAAAAAUUAUAUUUUUAUUUUUAAGAAUAGAAAAUAAUUUUUUUAAAUAUCUUUUAAUUGUUUUAUGUUCUUUCUAUUUAUUUUUUGAGGACUAUUUUAAAAAAUAAUUAUACAAUAAUAUAGAAUGAUUAAAAAUAAGAUACGAGAUAUAAAAAUUAUUUAAAAAUAUUAAAAACAUGUUAAAAUAUUUUAGGUUUCAAACAAGUUUUUAAUUUAUAAAAAUGAGGCAAUAAUUUUUAAUAACUGUUUUUAUAAAUUGCUUUGGAGGAGUAUUUUAAAAUACAAUUACCAACGUACCCUUUUAACUUUUUGUACAACAAACUCUUGUAGAAACCUUGAAUCAAAUUAUAAUAAUAUUAAAAUGAAUGACUUGUAGGCAUGGACGACUUUUCAUUGAAUAAGACAGUAAGAUGAAAACAAAUAUAGAGAGACACUUCCAAGAAUGGAGUGGACGAUAUAUUUCCUGGAUCGAUCCUGCUGGACCUCAAACUAUGAAUGAAAAAUGAAAAUAAUCUGAGUCUGAAUCUUUCUUUAAGGUUUGAUAUUUUCUACCACUUUGUUCUUAAGCAUUUUCUACUUAUCUUGGAAGUAGAGGAAAAAUGGAUUGAGCCCAUGGUCUAAUAACCAAGGAGAUGUCACUAUGAUCGCCUCAUCGUCUGAAUUUCAAUACGAAAAUGGUGCAAUUAACAUUAUAUAAAAUUGAGUACCGUCAUCAAUACCAUAAAAUAUUAGGUCAUAUUAUUUGAUCCAAACAAGAAAAUUGCAGGAUUAAGAGUACAUUAUUCUCAGAUAACUUUUACAGGAACAUACACUAGAUGUCCAUUAAUUAUAUUUCUUAGCCACAAGGCAAAGAGCAUUCUUCUUGUGCAUUGCAAUACCAGGUAUGGUAUCAAGGUCUAUGUCUUCCUCGUUCAUUCCAGCAGGCAUUUCCCAGUCAAAUGAGUGAAGAAGAUUAGCUAGUGUCAGCUCC